RNAcentral lists this long non-coding RNA (64288 nucleotides) under Populus trichocarpa (black cottonwood). RNAcentral describes it as "long non-coding RNA (PTRI_LNC000716)". The record is from RNAcentral. Lineage: Eukaryota; Viridiplantae; Streptophyta; Magnoliopsida; Malpighiales; Salicaceae.
AAAGAGGGGAGGGGGCAAUUUUGAAAAAACCAAAGAGAGUAACACAAAAAAAAAACCCUAAACAAAGAACUCUUUGUGCUUCGACUCUAUGAGCCGUCGUGCUCCCUCUUAAGCCAAAGGAGUCGCAGCCCCCACUUCUGAUUUUUUUUUUAAACACAGCCGCCGUCCCCCGGGGUCCUUGGCUUUUGCUCUCCCAGAACUAGAGAGCCAAGGACCCGUAGCCAUUUCAGAUCCUCCCUUCUCCCCCUUCGGCCGCUCAUCCUCGGAAACCAGAACCAACCUACCUCUCCACAGCUGCCCAUCUCUGGUCUGCCUCACAACCAAAGUCGACCGAUCUCUACCUCCAUCUCCCUCACGAGAUCUCCCCUCUCCAUUUUUCCACCACAGACCGACCGUCAUCGUUCCCACAGCAGCUCCAAAUCAGUCCUUUCCUCUCCUGUUCAACCGCAGCAAUCGUCUCCCAGCUUCUCCACCCAAAGCUUUCCCCUUAGUAGCCUCUUCUUCUCCUUCGAGCUCCUCAACAACGAUAGACACAGAUCACGAGAUAGGCCCCAUCUCUUCCCUCUCCAUCGACCACAACGAACCAUCUUUCAUCAGCACAGACGCGGCAAAGCUUCCUUCAUCGACGCAAACCGGCCUCCACCAAACGCAGCGGCACCCCCACUGUCUUCUUCAUCUCUUUCCACUCGCCCACAGACCCGCGGUCCUCCUCCUUGCUAUCAGUUAUCCGAAGCAAAAGAGAAGAAGUGAACCAAAAAAGAUUAGCUUAACCGCAGAUCUGAAAAACAAAGGAAACAGAGAAACAGGUCUGAAAAACAAAAUAGUAAAAGGCUAAAACCAACUGUUUGUGGCGUUGUUUUUUGUUUUGCAGGUCAUCACUGGCGAGGAAGGCAAGAAGGGAGGAAGCUGUUACAGAUCUCCCCUGUUGACUUGAUUUUUUAAGGCGGCGCGUGGAGCAACGUGCCGCCACUGUUCUUGUUGUCCCUGAGGCUUCACAACACUGUUCCCGUGACUUAGAGGCUUCAAGCACUGUUCGUGAUUCUAUUUUGGGGCCUCUUUUUGUAAAUUUAAAUUGUUUAAUGUGUUGUUUAGGUUAUUUUGAACAUUGAUUAUUUUGUAAUAAUUAGUUUUAGGUGUGGUAAAAUAUAGUAAAAAAGUGAUGUGUGUGUUUGUACUAUUUUUUUAUGUAUGUUUUUGAAUGAUAAAAAAUUAAAAAGACAAAAAGAAAAAAAAAUAAAUGUUUUAAUUUGCAUUGAAUUUGGUUUAUAUUUCAAAAAAAAAUCAAAAAAUAUUUUUCUUUUGAUAUCCAGGAUUAUAAUCUUAUACUUAAGAUGGAUUCUUGAUAUUAAAUAGAAAAGUUUGUUUUGUUUUUAUUGAUGCUAGAGCAAUUAGUUUUUUUUUAUCUAAUAAGAUAAGGAUAUCCUUACCGAGGAUAAUUUUUCUUCUCUUUUUAAGAAAUUAUUGGCAAGACAACUUUCAAAACCUUUUAAAUUACAUCAAAUCACGAAGCAGCUUACCUCAGGUAGGGUGUGCUAGGGUGCUAAUACCUUCCCUAGUCACAACCAGUCCCUUACCCGUGAAUCUCUGACAAGAUCAAUACACCCGGGUUUUCUUGUGACCCUGAAUCAAAUACUAGGUGGUGACUCCUAAAGAACCUAAUCAACGAACGAAAAUCACCAACAAACGUCAUGCGGGUGACGUGCGAUAGAAUGGCGACUCCACUGGGGAAGGUAUUGUUUCUAACAUAUUGGAUUAAGCUUUGUGUAUUUGAUGUAUUUAAGUUUUUGCCUUUUUGUUUUAUUUUGUUAAUGUUUUUUCCAUGGAUUGUAUAGAAUUGUCUCAUGCAUCACAUAUAUUUAUUUUUUAAAGCACACACAAGCUUCUAAGUUAGGUUGGGAAUUAACGAUCUGCCCUAUGACUAUUGGUCAGGGUUCAGAUGCGUGAAACACCCAACUCAUAUCUGAGUGCCUGCUUGGUAAUGGUGGGUAUACAUGCCUUAACCAUUUCUCACAACGCCCCUAUACUGUCUUUACGAAGAUCGUCACUGGGCAGAUAUGAGACCCUAUUGAGACCAGGUAGAAAACCUACCCAUGUUCACAUAAUGAAUAGAACUUGUCCUUAUGGAAGGGAAUGUCUGCACAGCCUCCUGUGGAAGCACUGUUAGUCUAUGUCCAACACAAGGAAAACAUCAUUGACUUUUCUCCUUAACAUUCCACCAGUAGGGGCUAUAAACACUGAAGUGGCACCUCCUUUUUUUCAUUUCAGUCAUGAACAACAACAACGCCUUCAAUCAUCAAUGAAAGAUAAUCUCCUUUCUGGUUCAAUUGCACUGUUAGUUGUUCAUCGCUUUCACGUCUUGCAAUAGCACCCAAAAGCUGCUAGCUUUUUGUGUCUGAUCUUCUUUGAAGUCACCGAACUCCAUUCUUGUCCUGUUGAUUUUAUUUAUUUUUUAUGUUGAAUUUGAUCAUUAUUUUUUUUUAAUUAAUUUUUUUUUUAUCUCACCCUUCAAUAUUUAAUUGGUUUUGAGUUCGAAUAGUGGUUUUUUCUGAUGCGUUGAUCCUAUUCUUAUGACUUGGGUCACAAGUGUGAUCUGUUAACCUAAAUUGACAUUAAUCUUUGUUUUUGCACCAGUUUUCAUUUUCAAUUACAUCCUUCAACGCUGAGUUUAUUUACAAUUGAGCUCUUUUAUUUUUUUGAAAAUUACAUUAUAUGAAGAUAGUCCAACCUCACGACCUUUGGAUUUGUCUGGCCAGUAUGCUUGUGUCACCCUGUUUAGGUCCAUUGAAUAUUUUUUUUUCUUUUUUAUGUUUCUUUUCAAUUUAAUCCUUUGAAUUUAGUAUUUUAUUGAAUUUUUUUUAUCAUUUUUAAAUAAACUUCAGGCAAGUCUUUUGCAUUUUUUAUGGUUUUUUAUAUUAUAAUAUUAUUUGAUUUAGUGUAUGGCCUAUUUGUUUUUUUUUUUUUUUGUUACUUUUUAAACAUGAUGUAUUUUCAUCUCCUUGAGAUUAAAAAAAUAAUUAAUCAUUUUGUUGUUUUUUACUUUAAGCAAGAAAACCUCCUUUUAUUAUCGGACUUUCAAUAAAUUAAAGUUUUUUUUUUGUUUCAUGUACGCACAACCUUUUUUUGUUGUUUAGAUGAAAAAUAAUUUUUAAGAUAAAAUAUUAUUAGAUUUAAUGAGUCUCAGAUCACAGGUUUGACUGGUUAACUCUGUAUUUUUUUUGUUGAAAAAAAUGUUUGCUAUAAAAAAACAGUGUUAGAUAAGCCAUUAUAUUCUCCUUUUCUUUUUCUAAAAAAUUGAUUUUUUUAAUCUGCAGCGAAACACGGGUCAUAAAGCUAAUUAUAUAUAAUACAUGUCUCAACUCACAAUUGUAAUUUAUCAUUAUUCCUUCCUACAAGAUAUAAAGGAAUCAAGCAUAAAUCCAUAAGUUGAUCCUAGUUUAAUAUUUUAGCAUCGUUUACACACACACACACAUAAAAAUCACUAUAGGGAAAAACAUUAUGCUUCUUCUUACAUUUCACUAUGAACUUACUAUGUUAUUUUUUUUAUAUUUUUGAUAAUCAAACUUUUAUUUUGGAUGAUUUCAUUCUUUUGUGGCCAAAUUGAAAGCCAAUUGUAUCAAAUUUGUUGAGGAAUGAGCAAGAUUGAAAGAAAGAGUGUCAAAAUUAAAAAGGCGAAGAAAUUAGAUGGUAGUUUCAAAAUUGGAUCAAAAAGUUCACCUUGGUCUUAUUAAUUUUCAAAUUAUAUACUUUUGGUCCUUCAAUAUUUUGAAAAUAUAAUUUUGUCCUAAAACUUUAGACUAGGUGUUAUUUGCCCUUCCUUCACCUUGCCUGAGAUGGUAGAUUUGAGGUCAUGAAGUUUUUUGCUUUCGGGUUGAUUUUGAGUUUUUGGGUUAUUUGAGGCUAUAUAUGAGUUUAUCAUGAUAUCUAGGGUAUAGAUAUUUUGGGUCAAAAACACAUUGAAUGUUGAAUUUUUGGGGUAAAAAAAAAAACCAAAGUCUUGAUUUUAUGGCAACCACAAGGUUGUCGGAAUCUGGGUGACCAAAAGACAAGUUGUCUAUUUUAUUUAAACAAAUAAAGGGUUCAUGACAUAUUGUUUACCCUUAGUAUCAAAAAAUAGCAUCCACUCUUUUAUAUUGGAAAAAAAACUCUUGGCGUGCUAGCUAGGCCUCUUUUCAUAGGCCUGGCCCGUGGGUAGGCCCACGCUCUUGGCUUGUUUGUUCUUUAUUUAUUUUUUUAAUGUAUUUUCAACACCCUUAAGUAAAAAAAAAAAAUUCAUUUAAUUCUUUGUUUGUUUUUUAAAGGUUUUUUUUUCUUUGACUUGAAAAAACAAACAUCCUUUUGUUAUCAAACUUUUAAGAAAUGGAAUUGUUUUUUAUUUUAAUCUCACAAGCCACCCUUGUUUUUUCUUUUUCUUUUUUUGAAGAAAAAAUAGUGUUUGAUAUAUAUAUAAAAAAGGAUCCCACACAUAUGGUUGGCAUAUAAUUAAAUGAAAAUAAUUUUGAAAACAAAGAUAUGUUAGAUCUAGUGGGAUGCAUGACCCGAAGCGCGGGCUUAAUUGGUUAACUCAUGGUUAAUCCAGGUAUUUUUUUGUCCUUUUUGAAUUGAAUAUUUUUAUUUUUUUUUUAUCAUUCAAUAAUGAGUUGACAUCAUAAUUUGUUUCAGUUUGUUUUUUAUAUGGAUAUUACAAUCUUAAAAUUCAAGUCGUAGAUAUAGCUAAUUAACUCAAGUUUACUCGAGUCAAUUUUUUAUUUAAUCAAUUAAAUGCAUGCAUGAAAUUUUUUAUUUUCGAAUAAAAUUUGUCCUCCGUGUCUAAAAACAUUUUAUAAACAUUUACAUAUUAAUUUUAUUAUAUUGAAAAAGAAAAUUUAUCCAGCACAGGCUACAUAACUAGCAUAUAACAUAAGUUGUGAAUCCAGCUCUGAUCUCAUUGACACACACUAUCAUUUGUUUGGCAAAACUAAAAGGAACAAAUCCAAAAUACCUAAAAAAAGAGAAAAAUUGAAGCUCUCACUCAAAUCACAUCUGGUGCAGGCAAUGAGCUCAUAAUAAAUCAGACAAAUAAAUUCUUCUCGAUAUGGAAGACAAAAUAGUCAAUUACAUCCUGGGUUCUGUUUGCCGCCCGAUUUAACAAUAUUUGCAUUCAAACAUGAAGCUGAGAGAGGCACGUUUGCUUUCUGGCCGAUAUAGGCCAAAUCGAUGUCCACAAGCUCUACUCCUUGACAAGGAACCAAUGAACUGCACGAAAAACUGACAGCAACAUCGGAAGUUGAGGUGCCUUUGAUGUUCUGGUAAUGAACAUUGCUAAUUUUCACUCGUGAUGGCUGCACAGAACAUGAACAAGAUUAGUAAUCCAACGUUAAUUAAGCUCAAAAAAAUUAAAUUACAUACAAUAUAGGAUUUAUCAAAUAUUCUGAUGUUGCAUGGGUAUACAUAAUAUGAUAAGAUUUUUGUAUAUGAAUUACCGCGCCAUUGCGGGAACCAUACUUCUGAUCAAUGAUAAUGGGAUUUUUCACACUAUCCAUAGUGAUAUCUUUAAAAGUGAUAUUUAAAGCUUGGCUAGGGUCAGAUGCAGCAUAUGAUUUGAUUCUCACACCAUUGGUGGUGUUAAACAAUGUGCAGUUAGUCACAACAAUUCCUCUCACAUCCUCCUCGUUCUUGUACUUGCCAAGGCUUCCAACACUGGUGUAAGUCCAAUCCAAAACAGAGAAGAAGUAAGUAAACGAAUACAUUUAUACCUGGAACUUCAUGAAUGAUGUUCACUGGAUCAGAAAUGGGAUUGCAGGGAGGGGGAAUCAGUACGGAAGUUACCUAAGGCCAUGUCCAGGGCCGCAAAAGACUUGAGAGAUGAGAAUAUUUGUGGAUCCUUGUCCAAUGGAAAUACAGUCAUCACCUGUUCCAAUCUUGCUGCUUGUUACGUGGACACCAUCAGAAUGGCUUAUGUGAAUACCAUCUGUAUUUGGGCUAUUAGCAGGAGCAGUCAAAUUGAUAUUGUGGAUCGAAAUGCUGUUGCAGCUUGUAACGUGCAUGUGGAAAUAUUUGCUAUCGACAGAGCUGAUCUCGUGAACAAAAGCAUUCUUUACUUUGCUCAACUUAAUGGACUGCAACAUGGAAAGAAGUCACAAAAUCAUUCCAAGUUUAUACUUUUACGACCACAUGUAUAGUAACUUUUGUGAAUUAACUCUCCGGCAACUAAGUAUGUUAACAAAUGGGGAAAAGUUUUCUUCAGAAUGAAAACAAAUGCCCGGACAGUAUCUUGCUUGCAGUCAAAGGUUCUUUAAAACUUAUUUCAACACUGACAGAAGUGAUGGCUUAUGUGAAGAAUGAGAUUCUUAUUGUGCAGGCCUGGACAUAUUCCUGAUCAUGGUCAGGCCAAUGAUUAAUAAAUUUUGUGGCAAGUGCUAUACAUACACUGGGAAGUGGCUGGCAUUCCUUGUUUUGAUGGCAAUCGUUGUACUUCCAGACGGCACUGCCUUGCCCAUCAAAAGUUCCUCCACCGUUCAAUGUUAAACCAUCAAUUAUUUCAAAUAAGAUCCAUUGUUCUGAACUAUAUUCACUGAGAUCAGUUGUAGCUUUCACGUUUCCCUGUACUUCAAAAACUAUAGGCUCUGUGCUUUUGCACGGCCCUUGAAAUACGACAGGGCUUGUCAAAAAUGUCCCUCCAGGGAUAACCAUCUUAGCUGGAGCACCUGAAUCACAUGCUGCCCGCCAUGUUUGGAUAAAUGCCUGCAUGAUACACAUUGUUAGACGUUAAUUGGAGUUGCAAACCUUUUUAGAGCGCAAAUCCUGUUUAGCGAUUAAAAUCCAGGAUAGUUAAUUAUUUUGUCAGAAAAAAAUCAAACUCUUUCACGUGUUCUGUUAUUCGGUUACACAGAACUAAGCCAAGUCAGGGCAAUCAAUUAUAAGACUGGCUUUGUCUUGCGAACUCACCUCUGCGUUAUCGGUCUUAUCAUCAGCCUUGGCACCGUGUUUUGUUACAUCAAAAACUGUAACCGCGGCACCACUACCAUCAAUCAGGCUACGACGGUCACUGAGACCAAUAUGGUGGCGAAGUGCACCAUCGGCCACGCAAGAGAGCAAAGCUAAGCCUAAAACAAGAAUGCUUCCUGCAAUGGUCAUGGUGACGUUUAACCCAGAAUGAAAGGUUUCUUUUUAAAUCUUCAAAGUUCUUGCAGAGGAAUGUGAAUUUUACCUCGCCAGGGUUUAUCUUUUAUAGAUUAAAAUCUCUAUCUCUAUUUUUAGUGAUGCCCCCCCAAACAUAGCACUGUAACCUUAGUUAAGUAUGAAUCUGCGUCUUCCCUGCUAUAUUUCAGGUCGCUUGCAGCCAUCGAAAUAAGAUAUCACUGUAUGUUGACUUAGAAUGACCGAUUCUUUUCCCAUAAAUAUAUAUGCACAAGUGAUCAAUACCUACUUAUAGGAAUAGAAAUCAUGGGAUGUGUAGCUCUCAACCACUGGUUUCCAGAAGAAAAAUAGAAUUUACUAUAUCAUGAACAGUGUAAUCCAAAAACAUUCUAUCUUAGGAUACACCAUAUGAAUUUAGGAUGCUUCGGUGAGGUAUAGAGCGGAUCUAUGCCACAGCUCGAUUGGCAAGCAUGAUAUGUUGUUCUUAUUCCUCGGAAUGUUCAAGUCUCCUUGUGAAUCCCAAAAAUAAAAAUUCAAAAGCCUUAAGAUUUACAAUCACUAAUUAUAGUGAUUAAUUACAUGGAAUUAUUGUAGAGUAGUGAACAUACAAAAACCCUUAAAAAAUAUAUAUUUACGAGGUACUGGCGUUGCCACCGGGGCAGGUUUAUUAACGAAAUACUGAACCAUUAUCACACCCUUGUUCUUCUGGGCUGCCGUGUAGCAUUCAAUAGUUUCCCUUGUAUAACAAGAACCUUGUGCACUUGAAAGCUGUUGUUGAAAUGUUGACUGCAGAGGCAUCUUUGCCUUAGGAACUGGGCCUAUGCUCUCCUCCAACAAUUGGAAGGCUUCAAUUCCAAUCUCUGCAAGCUUGUUUGGAGGAACCAUUCUCAAGCAGUCUUCCUCUCUAUUCUUGUAGUAAUCAAAACCUGUCUGCUGUUACUAGUGCUUGUCGUCGCAAUACCUAUGGAGCAUAACUGUUGACAGUUGCCUCAUUUGCUGCUGAAGAAGAGGUCUUCGAUGCUGAGAAGACUGAGCAGUUUUAGUCAAGAUUAGCUUUCCAUUAUCUUAGCAUGUUUGUUACAAAUAAAGCUGUUAUAGAACAGCUCUUUGUUUGUUAAGAUUUGAUAGUAUUUUUCUGUAGUUUGUUAUCAAAACUCUUUUAUAAAAGAGUAAUUUCAUUAAUAAAAAAUCAUGCUUGCAGUCACAAUAACAACAAUCAUUAUAGCUGUCUUAUUUUCUUUGUCUCUAUACUAUUUUAUCUACUUCAAAUUGGUAUCAGAGCUUUAUUUGAUCUUACGAGACCAAGCUUGAGUGAAGAGAGUAACCUAUGAGAAACCUUUUUUCACCAAACAUACAAACACCAAAGCCUCUUCUCUUUUUUAAAUGGCAUCAAAUAUGUAUUUUCUUGCAUCACCACCAGUAUUUACUGGUGAAAACUAUCAAAUGUGGGCUGUAAGAAUGAAAACAUACUUGCAAGCCUGUGAUUUCUGGGAUGCAAUAGAACAGGAACAUGAAUCCCAACCACUACCUGCUGAUCCUACUAUUGCUCAAAUCAAAACCCAUCGUGAGGAAAGAGCAAGAAAGUUCAAAGCAAAAACAUGUCUCUACUCUGCAGUUUCAGAAGCAAUAUUCCCCAGAAUAAUUGCACUUGAUACAGCCAAGCAAGUAUGGAAUUAUCUUCAAGAAGAAUUCCAUGGUAAUGAGAGAAUAAUUCAGAUGCAGGUAUUGAAUUUGAGAAGGGAGUUUGAGAUGCAGAAGAUGAAAGAAACAGAAACAAUCAGAGAUUUUUCUGAUAGAUUACUUUCCAUAGUCAACAAAGUAAGACUAUUGGGAGAAGAUCUUCCUGAUAAAAGAGUUGUUGAAAAAAUUCUGGUAACUUUACCUGAAAGGUUUGAAUCAAAAAUUUCUUCCUUAGAAGAAUCUAAAGAUCUGUCAAAAAUAUCUUUGACAGAAUUGCUCAAUGCUUUACAGGCACAAGAACAAAGAAGAAUAAUAUGGCAAGAGGAGUCCAUGGAAGGAGCUUUUCAAGCCAAAAUGCAUGUUCAGAAAGGAGACAAAGGCAAAAAGAAGAUCAACAAAUACAAUGGAGCCGAUAGCAGCAAAAGAUCUGGAAACUUUCCUCCCUGCCAACACUGUAAGAAAACAAAUCACUUACAGAAAUAUUGCUAGUGGAGACCUGAUAUUAAAUGCAGAAAGUGUAAUCAACUGGGACAUAUGGAGAAGAUUUGCAAAAGCAAAACUAACCUGCAAGAAGAUGAAGCUCAAGUUGCAAAUCAACAACAGGAGGAGCAGCUGUUUGUGGCUACUUGUUUUGCUAGCAAACAUGCAAGUGAUUGCUAGCUGAUAGAUAGUGGUUGCACAAACCACAUGACAAAUGAUGAAAAUCUAUUCAAGCAACUUGACAAAUCCAGUGUUUCUAUAGUCAGAAUCGGAAAUGGUGAAUAUAUUCCUGUCAAAGGAACAGGAACAGUUGCUAUUGAAGGAAAUUCAGGUAUAAAACUCAUUUCAGAUGUUCUUUUUGUUCCUGAAAUUGAUCAGAAUCUGUUAAGUGUUGGUCAGCUUCUUGAAAAAGGAUACUCAGUUGUAUUUAAAGACAAACAUUGUUCAAUUUCUGAUCCUGCUGGAUUAGAAAUAUUCACUAUAAAGAUGAAAGGAAAAUGUUUUUCACUUGACUGGAUGGAAGAGGAGUCAGCUGCUUUUCUAAGCACAGCAAAUCAGUCAGAAUUGUGGCACAAAAGGCUGGGGCAUUUUAAUCAAGCAACAUUGAUGCAGAUACAGAAAAAGAAGAUGGUGCAGGGAAUGCCAAAAUUGGAUGAAGAAAUCACAGUCUGCUCUUCUUAUCAAUAUAGCAAACAGAAUAACCUUCCAUUUCCUCUGAACAAGGCCUGGAGAGCAAUGAAAAAGCUUCAGCUUAUUCAUACUGAUGUUGCUGGACCUCUGAAGACAAUAUCUCUGAAUGGAAGCAGGUAUUAUAUAGCUUUCAUUGAUGAUUAUACAAGGAUGUGCUGGGUAUAUUUUCUAAAGUUUAAGACUGAGGUAGCAAGUGUUUUUCUGAAGUUUAAAAACUAGAUUGAAAAUCAAAGUGGUCAUAGAAUUCAGGUUGUAAGAUCUGAUAAUGGCACCAAAUACACAUCAAACAAGUUUGCCAAGUUUUGUCAUGAUGCAGGGAUUGAACAUCAAUAUACUACACCUUACACUCCUCAGCAAAAAGGUGUAAGUGAACGAAAAAACAGAACAAUCAUGGAGAUGGCAGGGUGUUUGUUAUUUGAGAAAGAUUUACCCAAGAAGUUUUGGGCAGAGGUUGUGAACACUACUGUGUUCUUGUUGAAUAGGCUGCCAACAAGAGCAUUACAAAACAAGACUCCAUAUGAAGCUUGGCAUGAUUACAAACCUUCACUUCAAAAUUUAAAGAUUUUUGGUUGCUUAUGUUUCACCUAUGUUCCUCAGGUAAAAAGAGAUAAACUUGACAAAAAGGCUGAGGCUGGCAUCUUUGUUGGCUACAGCAAUGUUACAAAAGGCUACAGAGUCUUUCAACCUCAAACAGAAAAAGUGAUAGUUAGCAGAGACAUCAAAUUCAUUGAAACCGAAAAGUGGAACUUCAAAGAUGAAAGUGCAGGUAUGGAGAUUGUGCAGGAUGUUGAUGACAUUGAUGAAGCACCAGUUAGAGGAACUAAGUUGCUUACAGAUAUUUAUCAAAGCUGCAAUGUAGCUGUGUUAGAACCUGCAGAAUUUGAAGAAGCCAAAAAUGAUCCAAAAUGGAUUGAUGCAAUGAAUGAAGAGCUGAGGAUGAUUGAGAAGAAUCAAACAUGGGAAUUGGUGGACAUGUCAGAGCACAAAAAACCUAUUGGACUAAAAUGGGUUCACAGAACAAAAUUGAAUGUUGAUGGCACUAUCAACAAACACAAAGCCAGAUUGGUGGUUAAGGGUUAUGCACAGAUUUUUGGUGUUGAUUUUUCAGAGACAUUUGCACCAGUUGCACGCCUGGAUACCAUAAGAAUACUACUACCAGUUGCAGCUCAAAAAGGUUGGAAAAUCAUUCAACUUGAUGUGAAGUCUGCAUUCUUGAAUGGCUAUCUGCAGGAGGAGAUUUUCGUUGAACAGCCAAAGGGAUUUGUUGUGAGAGGAGAAGAAGAAAAGGUUUACUUAUUGAAGAAAGCUUUAUAUGGAUUGAAACAGGCUCCAAGAGCUUGGUAUAGCAGGAUUGAUGAGCAUUUACUCAAACUUGACUUUAAGAAAAGUUUGAGUGAAUCAACCUUAUACAUCAGAAAUUCAAAUUCUGAUUACAUUGUGAUUUCACUUUAUAUGGAUGAUCUUUUUGUUACAGGAAACAAUCCAAGCAUGAUAAAAAAAUUCAAAGCAGAAAUGAUGAAGGUUUUUGAAAUGACAGAUCUCGGUGAAAUGUCUUAUUUUCUUGGUAUGGAAGUGCAACAAAACCAGCAUGGAAUUUUUAUUUGUCAGCAGAAAUAUGCCAAAGAGAUUUUGAAGAAAUUCAAAAUGGAAGAAUGCAAAUCAAUGACUACUCCCAUGAACGUGAAAGAAAAAUUCUGUAAAGAUGAUGGAGCUGAUAAAGUUGAUGAAGCAAUUUACAGAAGCUUGAUUGGAUGUCUGAUGUAUCUCACUGCUACAAGACCUGAUAUCAUGCAUGUUGUAAGCUUGUUAUCAAGGUUCAUGCAUUGUGCAAGUGAGGUUCACUUCAAGGCUGCGAAAAGAGUUAUGAGAUAUAUCAAAGGUACACUAAGCUAUGGCAUUCAGUUUAGUUGUAUUGAAAAUUUUAAUCUCCAAGGAUAUGCAGACAGUGAUUGGGCUGGCAGUUGUGAUGACAUGAAGAGCACCUCUAGAUAUUGUUUCAGUUUUGGAUCAGGAAUUUUCUCCUGGUGUUCAAAAAAACAAGAGGUAAUUGCUCAAUCAACAGCAAAGGCAGAGUAUGUUGCAACUACUGCAGCUACAAAUCAAGUUUUAUGGCUGAGAAAAAUCUUAGCAGAUUUGGACAUGGAGCAGAAGAAAGCUACUAGGGUCAAUGUUGAUAAUCAGGCUGCAAUUGCAAUAUCCAACAAUCCAAUCUUCCAUGGCAAAACAAAGCAUUUCAAGCUCAAGUAUUAUUUUCUGAGAGAGGUUCAGAAAAAUGAAGAGAUACAACUUAUUUAUUGCAGGACAGAAGACUAGCUUGCUGACAUUUUAACCAAGCCAUUGUCAAAAACAAGGUUUGAAAUAUUAAGAAACAAGAUAGGUGUCUGCAGCAAAAGAUGCAAGGAGGAGUGUUGACAGUUGCCUCAUUUGCUGCUGAAGAAGAGGUCUUUGAUGCUGAGAAGACUGAGAAGUUUUAGUCAAGAUUAGCUUUCCAUUAUCUUAGCAUGUUUGUUACAAAUAAAGCUGUUAUAGAACAGCUCUUUGUUUGUUAAGAUUUCAUCAUUAUUUUUCUGUAGUUUGUUAUCAAAACUCUUCUAUAAAAGAGUGAUUUCAUUAAUAAAGAAUUAUGCUUGCAGUCACAAUAACAACAAUCAUUAUAGCUGUCUUAUUUUCUUUGUCUCUAUAUUGUUUUAUCUACUUCAAUAACCCUUUUAUAGCAUAAGCUUAGUUCCUCUUUUUUCAUAUUAUCAUGAGACAUGCAUUCUCCUCCUUUCUCUCCCCCCAAAUUGCUGGAAAAUGUAAGAGAUGCAUUGAUCAGAUUUGCUUUCAGUGGACACUUCCUUUGUGAUGCUAUAAACAUGUAUUCGUAACUAUCUUCACUUUCUAGAGCGCCACAAAACCCUAUAGAUUUGCAUUCAGUGGACACUUCCUGCGUGAUGCUAUAAACAUGUAGUGGUGUUCAAAAAAAAACGACCAACUGAUUAAACCAAAAAAAUCAAGAAAAUAUUAACCAAAAAAACCCAACUGAUAGAAAAAACCAAAUAAACCGAUUUAAAAAAAUACCCGGUCCGGUUCGAUUCCGGUUUAAAAAAGCUUAAACCGAUUGAACUGGAUCAAACCGAACCGAUUUAAUUAAAUCUAAAUAACUUAAAAAAACAUAUAAAAAGAAACAUCCCUAACCCUAAAACAUUUUAUCUCUUUCCCCUUUUCCAGCCGCCAACACCCCCUUCCCCUUCCCAACCGCCCCUUCCCCUUCCUCUUUCCCCUUUCCCAGCCGUCCCACCCCUCCCUCCCUCCCUCCCGGAGGUCCUUUGUGCUCUUCUCUCUUAUUUUCUCUCAUAUGUUAACAUUAAAUCUUACUUUUAAGUUUUGAGUCUUUAACACCACAUCUUGGCUACCCCACACUUGCAGGACUUUAUGAAGAAAUUUGAGGGAGAAGCUUUAGGUCCAUGGCUCUUCAAGGAAGAAAUAAUUCUUUUUAACAGUUGAAUCUAUCUCUUGCCGACAUUUGACUUCAUUAUUCCUAUAAUCAAGGAAUCUCAUUUCAACACUCACGAAGGCCUCCAUGAAUCUUCAUUGGUUUCCGGUUUUUCUAGUUUUUAAUGCUAAAAAACCGACUUGAACCGAACAAAACCGUUUCAGUUUGAACCGGUUCUCGGUUCGGUCCGGGUUAUAUUAAUAAGAAAUAUUAUUUUCUAGUUUGGUUGAAUUUUUAAAUUAAAACUGGACUUUGAACACCCGUAUAUUUAUAUUUUUGUCAUUCCUUGUAAAAACCAACAUCCUAUCUGAUGCGAUAAAAUCAUUUUUAUCAGGUGAUUAUUUGGUCAUUAACAAAUUAAUUUGUAUAUUUGUUUUAGCACAUAAAAUAAUUAUGAUACACAUAUAGCUUUUAGCUAUGAUCUUUAUUGACUUUUGAAUUUUCUUUGCAUCGCAAAAUGUGGUGGAUACCUUUAAAACACACAAAUAUAUAUAUAUAUAUAUAUAUAUAUAUAUAUAUAUAUAUAUAUAUAUAUAUAUAUAUAAAAAAAAAAAAAAAAAAACUUGCAUAUAGCACAAUAAAAAGUUAAAUUUGACCUUAGAAUAAAAAAAAAUCAAAGGCUAGUGUGAAAGGGUGUUUUUAUCUUUUCAUUAUAGUUUUUUUUUUGUAAUAUUAAAUUUCAUUUAAUGGCUACUUGAUAAUUUAAUAAAUUUUAAUUUAAUAAAAAAAGCAUGUGUAAUGCAUUUGGACACCCCCUCGCUCUUCUAGUGGGGUUUUCGAUGCUAAAACACUGUUUUUCAGCACAACGUUUUGAUUGUCUUGACAACCUCUUGAUUAUGUAGCACGUGUAGCCAGCAAGUCUUGGGUUUUGCAUCGAUAGUCCUUUUUUUUUUCUAUCUUCUCUUCAUCUUGAUUUCCACAUUUCCUUCAAAAUUUCAUGGCAAACCUUCAAUUGUUUUCUCCUUAAGAUUUUGUUCUUAUUUUUUUAAUUCUUAUUUUUUUAAUUCUUAUUUAUUUUUAUAGGAAAUCAUUUAUCAAAUUAAAUUAUUUUUUUUCAAUUUCAUCCUUUUUUAAAUUUUUUCAUUUGUCAGAUUGGAUUCUCAUUUUUUUAUUUAUUUUAUUUGGAAUAAUUUUAAAAUUAAAUUUGUUUUAUGAUUUUAUCGUCCUACAAUUUUUAUCAUGUCAUAAUUAAUCCUCAUUAUUUUGAUUCUUAUUUUUCUCUUUGGAAAAGUUUUUAGAUUGAUUUUUUUUUUCUUAACUCCAUCCUUCAACAUUAAUUUGGUUAGGAAUUGAUAUUUUUUGUUGAGCCUCGGUCUCGGAUUUAAAAGAUUGCGAGUUUAGGAUAUUAACCUAGAUUUAGGAGAUUGACCUAGAUGUGCUUAGUUUUCUUUUUCUUUAAGAUUAUUUUUUUUAAUUUUAUCUUUCAGCAUUUAUUUAAUUUUAUAUUGGGCUCUAUUAUUUUUUUAUUUGUUUUAUAUUAAUUUUUCACUGAUUUUGAAUAUGAUAUUGAUUGUCUUGUCUUUUAAUAUUGGAUUGUUUGCUGAUUAAAUUUCAUGAUUUUAUUCAAUUUAUUUUUACUCAGAUUACAUGGUUUAACAAAAAUAAGUUUGUCUUUGUUACUUUUUUUAUUAAUAUAUUUAUUUUCGUUUUAUUUUUUUGUUUAUAAUAUUAAAUUGAUUGAAUUAUUACUGAAUCUUUUUUUACCUUUUUAAAAAUAUUUGUAUGGCUUAAGGAUUAUAUUUUUUAAAAAAAAUACAUUAGCCUCUGAUGCAGCGCGUGCCAUCAAUAAUCUAGUGCUUAGAGCCUAUUUGAGAUUUUGGUAGCGGUUGCUGUUCAAAGUGUUUCUCACUUAGAAAUGUAUCAAAAUGAUUUUUUUAAAAAAAUUAUUUUUAAAAUUAGCACAUCAAAACGAUUUAAAAUCAUAAAAAAUAUAAUUUUUAACAAAAAAAAUUUUAAUUUAAAAAAAUAUGAUUUCAACUACGUUACUAAACCGUCCCAGUAAAUAACCGCGUCAAUUCCCUAUCUGAACUAAAAACAAUAUGAACUCCAAGGGUGUUUUUUUAAUUAAGAAAGUUUACUUUUUAUCUUCAAUAUGUAAGUUCAAAUUUUAAGAGAUGGUUGUCCAGAAAAAAAAAAUUUAAAAAAUAGUUUUUAUUGACGUACAAGUAGGUCCGAAAAUAAAAAUACUACAUAUCAUCGAAUAAAAUAAUAAUAAUUUGUGAAAAAAGAGGAGGAUCCAUCUGGAACGAUGUUUCAAUUAUUUAGCCACGGCAAACCCAGUGAUAUGUGUGGAGAAGUUAAAGAAUCUGGGAUAGGAUAUGUACAUGUGCUUUUGGAUGAAAUUCAAAGGAGGGGGUCUAUCCAAAAAUUCUUGGCUAAAAAAAACAAAAAAAAAAACUUUAAAGUAUCUUUUGAAAAGAUGGAUUUGUUUAGGAUCAAAAUUCCAACCAUUUUAGAUCAAGAAUGGUUUUAAGGACUUCGCUAUAUUAUUAAUCAAAUAAAAAAAAUCUUGGAUUAUCAAAAAUUACUUAACAUUGUUAUUAAACUCGAUCUCAUACGUUAACUUUGAAACCUUUCAAUUAGAUAUUUUAACUAACCUGAAUUUAAAAUUAAAUUAUAAAAAAAAUGACUCAAUCUAAUCAACUUAAUUAGUAUAAAAACAACUUAACCGACCACUAAAAACAUUCUGACAAUGAAUUGAAAAAAAUGAUGAAAUUAAUAGAAAAACAAAAACAAAAAUUCUUGGGCCACAUCUUGUCUAACCCGAGUUUAAAAGUAAAUUGUUGAGAGUUGCCCUAACAUAACUUAAUCAACCUGAUUUGUCCAAAGGCAACUUGGCUUACCGAUAAAGAAAAUCUAAAGAUCAAAUUGAGAAAAAAAAAUGAAAUUGAUAAAUAAAUAAAUAAAACCCCUCUCAACCUGAUUUAUUAUCUAGCUCAUAUUUAAAAUUAAAUUAUGUGAGAAUGGCGCUAAAAUAAUUUAAUUGACCUGGUAGGUUUAAAGGUAACACAGUCACUUGUUAAAAAAGUUUGAGAAAAAAAUUUAAAAAAACAUGAUGAAAUUAAAAAAUAAGAUGGGCCAAAGAAAAAAAAAGAGAGAGAAGAAGUACGAAGCUACAUUAUAUUUGUAUAUAUUUACGCCCAAUACAAUUCAUACCAAAAGAUUCUGAAUAUAUAACUCUUACUUGAUACCAUUAACUAAUUUUAUGUUUUUAUUAAUUUAAAAAAUUAUUUUGAGGUUUUAAAAAUAAAACUUAAUUAAAAAAUAUUUAACGAAGUUUUAUGUCUAUAAUAUUAUAUUUAAAAUAUUUAUAUUAUAUAUAUAGUUUUUAAAAUAAGCUAUAUAUAAAUAUAUGAUAUAAUAAAUAAAAUAUUCUUCCACAAUUACACUUUUAUAUCUUUUUUUUAUUGUAAAUGGUUAAAUAGUUACAUUUAAUUUUAUAUAUAUGUUAGAUUCUUCCUUCAUUAUUCUCAAUAACCUUUCCAAAGGCAAAUUCCAAUUUUGAAAUUUACUAUUUCAUCCCAAGAGAAAUAAAUUCUUAUAACACACUGUCCCCCUAAAGAAAAAUAAAUUCUUGGAACACAUUAUUUUGUCCCAAAGACAAAUCAAUUAUUUGAACACAUUAUCACAUGCCGAAGGCAAAUCAAUUCUUUGAAUAUCUAUUUUCGUGAUUUAAAAACUAACCAUUAAUGUUUAAACAAUAGUCUUUCAUAAACUUGGAAAUAACAAAAUUUUGAGAGAUAGGGUUCUUAUCUUGAGUUUAUGGGAUGCAUGCUCUUUGAGAGUAUCGAUUUCACUUCGAACGAACCUUCUAAUAACACCAACAUUUCAACUAGUUAAAUUUUAACUUUGCUCACUAUACCUUUCUAUGUAUUAAGAAUUUAUUUCAACACAUAUAUGUAUACUUGUCAUGUCUAUUUUUCACACUAUUCUCUCUUACAUUACAACUAAAAUAUUAAUACCAAAUUAACUCAAUGUGGUAAGGUUUUUUUAAGAAUUUUCUUAAAUUUUUAUAAGACACCAUAACCCAAACCAAUCUUUCUUACUAACACAAUUUAAAACAAUAGUAUUAACAUUAUUCUUCACCCUAUCAUUUCUUUUACGCAUAGCCAGCCUCUAGAAUGAAAGAAAAACCACAUUAUAUAUGAAAUUUUCUUUUCUUUACAUUAUUAACUAUAUAAUUUGAACCAAAAUAAUUCUAUCAAUUCACCAAUCUUUUCUUCCAAUACUAUUUUAACAUAAACUCUAACUUGCAUAGAAUUUGGUGAUUUUCAAUCCUUAUAAAAAAGCUACAACAUAAAUGAAAUUAAAGCAAUGAAAAAACUUUACCACCACCAAUUAACCUAGAUUGCCUUGUUCCUUGCUCUAUUUCUUCCAAAUAUUGCUCCUUUCACUCUCCAAAUCACUCUUUCUCUCUCUAACUAUAUGUCGCACGUGGGCGCGCGCGAGUGGUGUCGUAGGGGUCAAGGAGUCGCUAAUUUUGUCAAUCUUAUACAUUUUGGUCCUUCAACUUUUCACUUGUUAUCUUGGGCAAUCUUUUGGGCUUUAUUCAUGUGUAUCCCCUUAUAUUUUGGAUAUUUUUAUACUUUUUCUUCUUUUCUUAUUUUUUUUGUGGGGUCAAAAAUAGGUAACAAUAAGUGCCCUCUUUUUAUAAUGUUUACAAAGCAAAAUUUUAUCAAGGUUUUGCAUAGUAAAGAAAAGGUGUAUGUCCAACUUGUUGGGUGAUCCACCCAUCCAAAAAAUUUGCUUUUAAAAUUCAAAAACUAAUCUAUUUUCAUAAACGACCUGUCCUUUUUAAAUUUCAAAAAAAAAAAUCAACAAGUAUGCUUCCUUGAAAUUGAUCUAUUUUCAUGGGUGACUUGCCUAUUAUGAAAUUCAAAAGUUGGCUUAUUUACACGGGCGACCUGCCCUUUUCAAUUUUCAAAAAGAACUUCAGCAAGUGUCUGUAUUCCCUGAAAGUGGCCUAUUUUCACGAGCAUUAUGCUCUUUUCAAACUUCAGCAAGCAUCCAUGCUUCUUUGAAGUUGAUGUAUUUUCACGGGCGACUAGCACUUUUCAAAUUUCAAAAAGAAUUUCAGCAAACGUUCAUACUUCUCUAAAAUUGAUCUAUUUUCACGAGCGGCCUGCUCAUUUUGAAAUUCAAAAACUAGCUUAUUUUAUAGGUGACCUGUCCAUUUUGAAAUUCAAAAACUAGUAUAUUUUCAUGGGUGACUUACCCUUUUAGAACUUCAACAAGCGUCUAUGCUUCCCUAAAGUUAGUCAAUUUUCACGGGUGACCUGCCUAUUUUGAAAUUCAAACUAAGAUUUUUAUUAAAAUCCUUCAAAACUUUCCAAAAACAAAAUACCCUUAAAGGAUAAACUCUUAAAACAAGUGCAUUGUCUUGUGGCUUUAGUUGUCCACACUAUAUAGAUGGGAUUUUUUUCCAUUUCUCGACUUUCAUUCACUCAUGCAGAUUUCUCCUCCUUUCUUGUUGAUUGACGAAUUCUGCACAAAUACUAUUUCAAAGUUGAGGUUAAACCAUAUACAAUGCAUGCUUUUUGAAAUAUAAGCCCCCUCUCAUUUCUUCACAAUUUCUUUUUAUGAUUGUCAAGGGCUGCAAUUUCCAAAGUGGUCACUUUCGUCGGCUCAUCUUCCAGUUUACCCAAGCAAGUCCAUGCGAAUUACUUUCAAAUCUUUACCGUCAAGUUGCCUUUCUAGCCUUUUUUUUUUUUAGUAUUUAGGCCAUGACGAAUACUAUCCUAAUUGGGAAUGCAUUAGAACUCCUUGCCUUAUGACAAUGUUGUUUUUUAUGUGCUUUUAUCAAAUACAUGUGACACAUGUUUGAGUUUUAUUUUAGGGUGUUUUUCCUAACAAGGAUUUCAAAAGACUUACUUUGUCUUUUCGAAAGCCUGAGAUUUUUCAUAGUCAUGUCAAAUAGCAAUGUUCAUGCAACUCUCAUGAUCUGACUAGUCUUUAAAGAAAGACAUUUCAUCAUGGUGAUUAGUUUAGGAGAUGGCUCAUUUUGCAUUGGGUUGAAAACAAAAUCAAAUACUUGUUUGAAGUCUUGUGUUUGAAUAUUCUCAAAAAAGGUGAAUAGCUAUUCAUUUUAUCAUGACUCUUAAGAAUGGUUCCUUAUGUUUUGAGAGCGUAUUUAUCAGUCUUUCUUGCUUGCUUGAUUAGAACAGACUUUUCAAGGUGCGUAAUGAAGGCUUAGUUUGAUGGCUACUAAAGAAAAUGAAUUCACAGGCUCAAAUGGUGUUUAAGGGUCUUCAUGGGUCUAGGAUCACUUUUAUUCCUUUAUACCCCUUCAUCCUCUUUUGUUAUUCUUCUAGCAUAUGAUAUGCUAUCAAAGUCCUUUGCUUUUAGGAGUCGAGACAAAAGGAUCUUUCCAGGUUUUCUUUUGACUUUAUACCUUUGAUCGAACACCUAAUUAGCUUUUCUUUCCUGAAAUCUUUUUACCCAAUGCCCUUCUCUUUUUCAAACCCUUGAUAGAAAACCUAAACAUGUUUCUUUCAUUUGCAAAUUCCUCAAUGAUUUUCCUUUUCUUCAUUUGUCGAAGUUGUAGGAAAAGCCUUUACUUGUUUUUUCUUAUACUCGUGUGUCUUUUCAAGAUUUGUUAUUUUAGCAAUGUUAUUUUAGCAAAGCUCCUUUUCUUCUUUUUGGGCGUGUUCGACUUACGGACACAAUCAUGGAUUCCGUUUAUAGGUAUUCUACCUUUAUUGAGUUUUCCGACCACAUCCUAAUUAUUUUCUAAUACUUGCCCCAGUGGUGAGUGUGAUCCUAACAAGGGUUAUCUUGCAAAAAAAAAUUCAUUUUGGCUCAAAUUGGGACUGCAAUGAAUAUAUUUAUUUCUAAGGGGUAUCAAAGAAUGGCCUUUUCUCAUUUCAAGCAAGAUUGACUAGGACAAAUAAAUUAUGACCUCAUCACCAUAGCGAUUUGCAUGGAAUAUUUUUAUGAGUUCAUGAUUCAUGAAAACUUUAUCCUCUUUGUUUCAUAUAGCUUUUAUACGACAAACUUUGAUUGUUGGGUCAUCUAAUUUUAGACCCUAUUUUGAUAGUAUUUAGUGCGUUCUAUUACGUAAAGGAGGAUGAGCAUAGGCUCUUAAUGGAAUUUAAAGUUCGUGUUUAAUGUAAUAGAGACAUGUAUAAUUCCACCUAUAUAAAUAUAGAAGUGGUGCCGCUUUUGACAAGAGUUAGGGUUUUCUCUUAUAAAUAUUCAUGAAAAUACGAUUUUAGCACAUGACCAUAAUAGUGCUAAACAAUUGUAAACCUCUUUAAGAGUUUGGAUAGUAUUAUGUAUGUAGCAUCUUUUAUUCUACAAUAAAAGUUUGGGUUUAAUCUAGACACCAAUAACUUUAAUAGGAUUCAAGUUCUAAUACUAAUUGAAGGUUUAAAUUGUAAAAUACCUUAUUGUAAGUAUAAUUUUAUCAAAUGAAAAGAUAUUCAUUACAAACUAGUGAGGAUUGUUGGUAUAGUUUGUAAAUGAAUAAAGAAGAAAAAGAUGUUUAUCCCAUAUUGGAUAGAAACACUCUCCUAAGUGUUUAUAAGUGUGAGUUUUUAUUGUGUAGUAAAUUAAGUGAAAUUUAUGGUGGAAGGACUUUUCUAGUAGACUUUCUAAUGCUAUUAUUUUUAAUUUCAUCAUUCAAUAAUGAGUUGAUUUGUUAAUUCAACAUCACAAUUUGUUUCAAUUUAUUUUUUAUAUGGAUAUUACAAUCUCAAAACUCAAGUCGUAGAUAUAGCUAAUUAACUCAAGUUUACUCAAGUUGAUUUUUUAUUUAAUCAAUUAAAUACAUGCAUGAAAAUGUUUUCUAUUAAAAUUUGUUCUCCGUGUCUAAAACAUUUUAUAAACAUUUACAUAUUAAUUUUAUUAUAUUGAAAAAGAAAAUUUAUCCAGCACAGGCUACGUAACUAGCAUAUAACAUAAGUUGUGAAUCCAGCUCUGAUCUCAUUGACACACACUAUCAUUUGUUUGGCCAAACUAAAAGGAACAAAUCCAAAAUACCUAAAAAAAGAGAAAAAUUGAAGCUCUCACUCAAAUCACAUCUGGUGCAGGCAAUGAGCUCAUAAUAAAUCAGACAAAUAAAUUCUUCUCGAUAUGGAAGACAAAAUAGUCAAUUACAUCCUGGGUUCUGUUUGCCGCCCGAUUUAACAAUAUUUGCAUUCAAACAUGAAGCUGAGAGAGGGAUGUUUGCUUUCUGGCCGAUAUAGGCCAAAUCGAUGUCCACAAUCUCUACUCCUUGACAAGGAACCAAUGAACUGCACGAAAAACUGACAGCAACAUCGGAAGUUGAGGUGCCUUUGAUGUUCUGGUAAUGAACAUUGCUAAUUUUCACUCGUGAUGGCUGCACAGAACAUGAACAAGCUUAGCAAUCCAACGUUAAUUAAGCUAAAAAAAAUUAAAUUACAUACAAUAUAGGAUUUAUCAAAUAUUCUGAUGUUGCAUGGGUAUACAUGAUAUGAUAAGAUUUUUGUCUAUGAAUUACCGCGCCAUUGCGGGAACCAUACUUCUGAUCAAUGAUAAUGGGAUUUUUCACACUAUCCAUAGUGAUAUCUUUAAAAGUGAUAUUUAAAGCUUGGCUAGGGUCAGAUGCAGCAUAUGAUUUGAUUCUCACACCAUUGGUGGUGUUAAACAAUGUGCAGUUAGUCACAACAAUUCCUCUCACAUCCUCCUCGUUCUUGUACUUGCCAAGGCUUCCAACACUGGUGUAAGUCCAAUCCAAAAACAGAGAAGAAGUAAGUAAACGAAUACAUUUAUACCUGGAACUUCAUGAAUGAUGUUCACUGGAUCAGAAAUGGGAUUGCAGGGAGGGGGAAUCAGUACGGAAGUUACCUAAGGCCAUGUCCAGGGCCGCAAAAGACUUGAGAGAUGAGAAUAUUUGUGGAUCCUUGUCCAAUGGAAACACAGUCAUCACCUGUUCCAAUCUUGCUGCUUGUUACGUGGACACCAUCAGAAUGGCUUAUGUGAAUACCAUCUGUAUUUGGGCUAUUAGCAGGAGCAGUCAAAUUGAUAUUGUGGAUCGAAAUGCUGUUGCAGCUUGUAACGUGCAUGUGGAAAUAUUUGCUAUCGACAGAGCUGAUCUCGUGAACAAAAGCAUUCUUUACUUUGCUCAACUUAAUGGACUGCAACAUGGAAAGAAGUCACAAAAUCAUUCCAAGUUUAUACUUUUACGACCACAUGUAUAGUAACUUUUGUGAAUUAACUCUCCGGCAACUAAGUAUGUUAACAAAUGGGGAAAAGUUUUCUUCAGAAUGAAAACAAAUGCCCGGACAGUAUCUUGCUUGCAGUCAAAGGUUCUUUAAAACUUAUUUCAACACUGACAGAAGUGAUGGCUUAUGUGAAGAAUGAGAUUCUUAUUGUGCAGGCCUGGACAUAUUCCUGAUCAUGGUCAGGCCAAUGAUUAAUAAAUUUUGUGGCAAGUGCUAUACAUACACUGGGAAGUGGCUGGCAUUCCUUGUUUUGAUGGCAAUCGUUGUACUUCCAGACGGCACUGCCUUGCCCAUCAAAAGUUCCUCCACCGUUCAAUGUUAAACCAUCAAUUAUUUCAAAUAAGAUCCAUUGUUCUGAACUAUAUUCACUGAGAUCAGUUGUAGCUUUCACGUUUCCCUGUACUUCAAAAACUAUAGGCUCUGUGCUUUUGCACGGCCCUUGAAAUACGACAGGGCUUGUCAAAAAUGUCCCUCCAGGGAUAACCAUCUUAGCUGGAGCACCUGAAUCACAUGCUGCCCGCCAUGUUUGGAUAAAUGCCUGCAUGAUACACAUUGUUAGACGUUAAUUGGAGUUGCAAACCUUUUUAGAGCGCAAAUCCUGUUUAGCGAUUAAAAUCCAGGAUAGUUAAUUAUUUUGUCAGAAAAAAAUCAAACUCUUUCACGUGUUCUGUUAUUCGGUUACACAGAACUAAGCCAAGUCAGGGCAAUCAAUUAUAAGACUGGCUUUGUCUUGCGAACUCACCUCUGCGUUAUCGGUCUUAUCAUCAGCCUUGGCACCGUGUUUUGUUACAUCAAAAACUGUAACCGCGGCACCACUACCAUCAACGAGGCUACGACGGUCACUGAGACCAAUAUGGUGGCGAAGUGCACCAUCGGCCACGCAAGAGAGCAAAGCUAAGCCUAAAACAAGAAUGCUUCCUGCAAUGGUCAUGGUGACGUUUAACCCAGAAUGAAAGGUUUCUUUUUAAAUCUUCAAAGUUCUUGCAGAGGAAUGUGAAUUUUACCUCGCCAGGGUUUAUCUUUUAUAGAUUAAAAUCUCUAUCUCUAUUUUUAGUGAUGCCCCCCCAAACAUAGCACUGUAACCUUAGUUAAGUAUGAAUCUGCGUCUUCCCUGCUAUAUUUCAGGUCGCUUGCAGCCAUCGAAAUAAGAUAUCACUGUAUGUUGACUUAGAAUGACCGAUUCUUUUCCCAUAAAUAUAUAUGCACAAGUGAUCAAUACCUACUUAUAGGAAUAGAAAUCAUGGGAUGUGUAGCUCUCAACCACUGGUUUCCAGAAGAAAAAUAGAAUUUACUAUAUCAUGAACAGUGUAAUCCAAAAACAUUCUAUCUUAGGAUACACCAUAUGAAUUUAGGAUGCUUCGGUGAGGUAUAGAGCGGAUCUAAGCCACAGCUCGAUUGGCAAGCAUGAUGUUGUUCUUAUUCCUCGGAAUGUUCAAGUCUCCUUAUGAAUCCCACAAAAAAAAAUUCAAAAGCCUUAAGAUUUACAAUCACUAAUUAUAGUGAUUAAUUACAUGGAAUUAUUGUAGAGUCAUGAACAUACAAAAACCCUUAAAAUAUAUAUAUUUACGAGGUACUGGCGUUGCCACCGGGGCAGGUUUAUUAACGAAAUACUCAACCAUUAUCACACCCUUGUUCUUCUGGGCUGCCGUGUAGCAUUCAAUAGUUUCCCUUGUAUAACAAGAAGCUUGUGCACUUGAAAGCUGUUGUUGAAACGUUGAAUGCAGAGGCAUCUUUGCCUUAGGAACUGGGCCUAUAUAUGCUCUCCUCCAACAUAUUGGAAGGCUUCAAUUCCAAUCUCUGCAAGCUUGUUUGGAGGAACCAUUCUCAAGCAGUCUUCCUCUCUAUUCUUCUAGUAAUCAAAAACCUGUCUGCUGUUACUAGUGCUUGUCGUCGCAAUACCUAUGGAGCAUAACCCUUUUAUAGCAUAAGCUUAGUUCCUCUUUUUUCACAUUAUCAUGAGACAUGCAUUCUCCUCCUGUCUCUCCCCCCAAAUUGCUGGAAAAUGUAAGAGAUGCAUUGGUCAGAUUUGCAUUCAGUGGACACUUCUAACUAUCUUUACUUUCUAGAGCGGCACAUGUCUCUCUGCUGCCAGUGUAUGUUUGAAUUUUAAAUUCAAAAAACAAAAACACUAAAGGAGCUUAGGAUUACACUGUUGCCUAUUAUAAUUUUUUUCCCAUUCUUUAUAAAAACCAACGACAUAGCUGAUGGGAUAAAAUCAUCUUUUUUAGGUGAUCAUUUCGUCAUUAACAAAUUAAUUAGAGAUAAAGUGGUUUAUACUCUCUCUUUUUUUGCACAAUAAAAUAAUAAUAAUGGUACCCUUUCAUUUGUCUACCUCUUCUGAACUUUCUUUGCAUAGUAAAAUAUCAUGAACACCUUUAAAAUUUAAAAGAAAAUAUUAAACUUGCAAAGAGAGGCUUUUAGCCUUUUUCAUAUUUUUAACACAAUAAAAAGAUAAAUUGGACCUUAGAAUAAAAAAAAAGAGUCUAAAGCUAGUGUGAGAAGGUGUUUUUUUGUCUUUUCAUUAUUAUUAUUUUUUUUUUGUAAUAUUGAAUUUCAUUUGAUGGUUGCUUGGUAAUUUAAUAAAUAUUAGAUUUAAUUUUAAAAAAAUAGCAUGUGUACACACCCCGCACCUUUCUAACGGAGCGUGUGGGGGCUUUUGGUAUCCAAACACUGUCUUUAACCAUGAUGUUUUAAUUGUUUUGGCAACCUCUCCAUUAUGUGAUGGUGUGUGAGGUCAGUAAAUCUUAGAUUUUGCAUCAAUGAUUUUUUCUUUUCUUUUCUUUUUUCUCUCUUGAUCUUCUUUCUACCUUAAAUUUUCUGCCUAACCUUCAAAAUUUCAUAGCAAACCUUCAAUUGUUUUCUUCUUAAAUUUAGUCCUUUUUUAAUUUAUAUUUGUUUUUAUAUAAAAUCAUUUAUUAAAUUGAUUUUUUUUUCAAUUUCAUCCUCUUCUAUUUUUUUUCAUGUAUCAGAUUGGAUCCUCAUUCUUUUUAUUAUUAUUUAUUUUGUUUUAAAAUAUAAUUUUUUUUGUGAUUUCAUCGUCCCACAGUUUUUUUUCCUGUCAUAUUUAAUCCUUAUUUUUUUAUUGCUAUUUUUUUUCUUUGGCAAAUUUUUUAAAUUGAUUUUUUUUUCUUGGUUUCAUCCUUUAACAUUGAAUUGGUUUGGAAUUGAUAUUUUUAAUUGAGUCCAUGUCUAGGAUUUAAAAGAUUGUGAGUUUGAAAAAUUAACUUAGGUUUAGAAUAUUCACCCGGAUUUACUUUUUUUUUUCUUUUUUAAGAUUAUAUUUUUUAAUUUCAUCUUUCAGUAUUUAUUUGAUUUUAGAUUGGGCUCUGUUAUUUUUUAUUUGUUUUAUAUUGAUUUUCACUUAUUUUAAAAAUAAUCUAAAUUAUUUGUCUUUUAAUAUUGGGUUAUUUGGUGAUUAAGUUUCAUGAUUUUAUUAAACUUGCUUCCGCCAAGAUUACUUGAUUUAACAAAAAAUAUGUCUUUGUUAAUUUCUUGGUUAAUUUAUUUAUUGUUGUUUUAUUUUUUAUUUAUAAUAUUAAAUUAAUUGAAUUGUUAAACAUAAUCGAAUCAAUAACCUAAUUUGUUUUUCCUUUUUAAAAUUAUUUGUAUCGCUUUAGUUUUUAUUUUGAAAAAAAUAAAAAACACGUUAGCAUGUGGUGUAACACGUGCUAUCAAUCUAGUGCUUACUAGAGGACAAGGAACCACGUGAAUUCCCUAUCUGAACUGAAUAAUUCAUGUGGAAGGCCGCAUACUUUUAGCAUAUCCUUUGGGCAAAAAACAAAAUAUGAACUCCAACGGGGUUUUUUUUUAAUUAAGAAAGUUUGCUUUUUAUAGUUCAAAUUUUAAGAGGAGGAUCCAUCUGGACCGAUGUUUCAAUUAUUUAGCCACGGCGAACCCAGUGAUUGGUGGAGAGAAGAUAAAGAAUCUGGGAUAGGAUAUGUAAAUGUGCUUUUUGAUGAAUUUCAAAGGAGGGGUCUAUCCAAAACCAAACUUCAAAGUGUCUUCUGAAAAGAUGGAUUUGUUUAGGAUCAGAAUUUCAACCUGUUUAGAUCAAGAAUGGUUUUAAGGCCAUCAAAUAAAAAAAAUUAAAUUAUCCAGAUUAUAAAUAAUUACUUGACAGUGCCCUAUAUUAACUUUGAAAUCUUUUAAUGAGAUAUUUUAAUUAGCUUGAAUUUAAAAUUAAAUUAUGAGAAAAAUAAUGUAUUGUGAUUUGGUUAAUUUGACUAUUUUAAAGAUAAUUUAGUCAAUCAAAUAAAAAUUGAUUAUGAAUUGAAAAUAAAAGAUGAAAUUAAUAGAAAAACAAAAGUAAAAACUCUUGGUCCAAUGUUUUACCUAACCCGAAUUUAAAAAUAAAUAGUUGAGAGUUUCUUCAAUAUAACUCAAUUAACUUAAUUUGUCCAAAAGCAACUUGGCUUAUCAGUAAAGAAAAUCUCAUGAUGAAAUUAAAGAAAAAGAAGAUGAAAUUGAUAGAAAAAUCUCUUAACUAGAUUUCUUAUCUAGUUUGGAAUUAAAAUUAAAUCGUGUAAAAGUUGUGCUAAAAUAAUUCAAUUGACCUGGUAGGUUUAAAGAUAACAAAACAGCUUAUUAAAAAAAAAUUAAGAAUGAAAUUUAGAAGAAAAAAAUAAUGAAAUUAAAGGAAAAAAAAAACAAAAACAAGGAAUGCUGAAGAAAAAAAAAAGAAAAAGAAUGAAGCUAAGUUAAAGCCUUGUUUGUUUUAAAAAAACACUUUCUUGGAAAAUAGUUUUCAAACUUUUAGAUAUUUUUAACCCAAAAAAAUAUACUUUUUUUCCACAAAGAAAGUGUUGCCCUCUUCUUAAUUCCAAAUAACACUUUCUUUUUCUCUAACAUAUAAAAUAAACUUCAUACUAAUACAACUUCCACAAAUCUCUCUUUUUCCAUCCCCUUUUCCUCUUUUUUUUUUUGGUCAUUUGCAAAAUCAAGAUGGAGAUCUCAACAUUAGACAUAAGAUGGAUCCUCCCACCUCAACUUGCCAUAGUUGUUGUUGCUUCCAUAACCCAUGACAAUGGAUUCCACAUAAACCCCAAAAACCUGAGUAUUUUACUUUCAUUUAAAGCAAAUAAUUAAUAGGAUUGAAUUUUGACAUAGGAAGCUGGAAAACAUGAAGUUGCAGAGGAAACUAGCUAGCAACAAGAUCAACUACAAUCGAAGGAAAAGAAACUGAAGUUGAAACAGUUGUUGGUUCUUAAUCAGAAAUUGUUGUUUAUUUGUUGUAUCCAAACACCCCUUGCCGCUUUUGAAUGUUAUCGUCAUCUUGAAAAUUUCUUCGACAGGGACAUUAAGUACCCGCAAGCCACUCUCACAUAUUAUCAGAACAUUAUCCUUAAAAGACCUUUCAACUAAUCUAACCUUGUAAUAGACCUUCGACAGGGACAUUUACUAUUGUUAUUUUAUUCCACGACAAAGUUUAUGGUUUUCUAUGACUGAGAAGUAAAAUUGUAUGUUAGAAACGUAAAAGAAAAUUACAUUUUCAUCCCUGGUGUUUAUUACCAUCCCUGGUUCUACAAAAUAUCUAUCUUUGUAUAUAUUUAUCCCCAAUACAAUUCAUGCCAAACAAAUGGGAAUAUAUAACUCUUAAUUAAUGCCAUUAACUAAGUUGGAGUUUUCAUUAAUUUAAAAAAAAAUUAUUUUGAGGUUUUAAAAAUAAAAUUUAAUUAAAAAAUAUUUAACAAGGUUAUAUGUCUAUAAUAUUAUAUUUAAAAUAUUUAUAUUAUAUGCAUAUAUAUAUAUAUAUUUUAUAAAAUAAGAUAUAUAUAAAUAUAUGAUAUAAUAAAUUCUUUUUUCUUUCACAAAUACACUUUUUAUAUCUCUUUUUUUUAUUGUUGGUGGUGAAAUAGUUGUAUUCAAUGUUAUAUUAAGAAUUUAUUUCAACACAUAUAUACAUGUCAGGUCUAUUUUUCACACUAUUCUCUCUUCCAUUACAACCAAAAUAUUAAAACCACAUUAACUCAAUGUGGUAAAUUCUUAUUAACAAUUUUCUUAAAUUUUUUUAAGGCACCACAACCCAAACCAAUCUUUCUUACUAACACAAUUUAAAACAAUAGUAUUAACAUUAUUUGACUUAAUUCUUCACCCUAUCAUUUCUUUACCCAUGGAUAGCCUCUGGAAUGAAAGAAAAACCACAUUAUAUUUGAAAUUUUCUUUUGUUUACAUUAUUAACUAUAUCAUUUAAACCAAAAUAAUUCUAUCAAUUCACAAAUCUUUUCUUCCAAUACUAUUUUAACAUAAACCCUAACUUGCAUAGAAUUUGGGGAUUAUCAAUCCUUAUAAAAAAGAUUCAACAUAAACAAAAUUAAAGCAAUGAAAAAAUUGUACCACCACCAAUUAACCAAGUUUGCCAUGUUCCUUACUCUAUUUCUUCCAAAUAUUGCUCAUUUCACUCUCUAAAUCACUCUUUCUCUCUAACUAUAUGUCGCACAUGGGCACGUGCGAGCGGUGUCGUAGGGGUCAAGGAGUCGCAAAUUUUGUCAACCUUGUACAUUUUGGUCCUUCAACUUUUCACUUGUCAUCUUGGUCCUUUACCGUCAACUUGGACAAUCUUUUGGGCUUUAUUCAUGUGUAUCCUCUUGUAUUUUGGAUUUUUUUAUAUACUUUUUCUUCUUUUCAUAUUUUUUUUUAAUGAAGUCAAAAAUAGAUAACAACAAGUGCCCUCUCUUUACAAUGUUUACGAAGCAAAAUUUCAUCAAAAGUUUUGCAUUUAAGCUUGUAAAGAAAAAGUGUUUGUCCAACUUAUUGGGUGAUCCACCCAUCCAAAAACUUUGCUUUUAAAAUUCAAAAACUAAUCUAUUUUCACAGACAACAUAUCCUUUUUAAAUUUCAAAAAAGAAAUUCAACAAGCGUCCAUGCUUCCCUGAAAUUGGUUUAUUUUCAUGGACGACUUGCCCAUUUUAAAAUUCAAAAGUUAGUUUAUUUUCACGGGCGACCUGCCUUUUCCAAUUUUCAAAAGGAACUUCAACAAGUGUCUGUACUUCCUUGAAAUUGGUCUAUUUUCACGGGCGACCAGCACUUUUCAAAUUUCAAAAAGAAUUUUAGCAAACGUUCAUACUUCUCUGAAAUUGGUCUUUUUUCACUGGUGACCUGUCCAUUUUGAAAUUCAAAAACUAGUUUAUUUUCACAAGCGAUCUGCCCAUUUUAAAAUUCAAAAAGAACUUCAGCAAGCGUCCAUGAUUCCCUGAAGUUAGUUUAUUUUCACGGGCGACCUGUCUAUUUUGAAAUUCAAACUAAGAUUUUCAUCAAAAUCCUUCAAAACUUUCCUAAAACAAAAAACAAAAAACCCUCCAAUGGUAAACUGUUAAAACAAGUGCUUUGUCUUAUGGCCUUAGUUGUUCACACCAUAUGGAUGAGAUUUCUUUAUCAUUUCUCAACUUUCAUUCACUCAUGAAAAUUUCUCCUCUUUUCCUCUUGAUUGACGAAUCCUACACCAACAUUAUUUCAAAGUUUAGGUUAAAACAUAUGCAAUGCAUGCUUUUUGAAAUAUUACCCCAUAUUUAUUCACAAUUUCUUUUUUUGAUUAUUAAGGGUUGUAAUUUUAAAGGUGGUUAUUUUUUUUGGAUCAUCUUCUAGUUUACCCAAGCAAAUCUGUAUGAGUUACUUUCAAAUCUUGAGCGUUGAGCUGCCUUUGUAGCCAUCUCCUUAUUAUGAGUAUUUAGGCCAUGACAAAUAAUAUCCAAAUUAGGAAUGCAUUUAUAACUCUUUGCCUUAUGGCAAUGUUAUUUUUCAUGUGCUUCUAUCAAAUACACGUGACACACGUUUAGGUUUUAUUUUAGGGUGUUUUCCCUAACAAGGAUUUCACAAGAUUUAUUAUCUUUUUAAAAGCUUGAGAUUUUUCAAAGUCAUGUUAAAUAGCAAUGUUCAUGCAACUCUCAUAAUUUGUAUUAGUCUUUUCAGAAAGAUAUUUCAUCAUGGUGAUUGGUUUAAGAGAUGACCCAUUUUGUUGGGUUAAAAAAAGAUCAAAUACUUGUUUGAAGUCUUGUGUUUGAAUUUUUUCAAAAACGAUAAAUAGCUAUUAUUUUAUCAUGACUCUUGUGAAUGGUUCUUUAUGUUUUGGGAGCGUAUUUAUCAGUCUUUCUCGCUUGCUUGAUUAAAAUGGACUUUUCAAUGUACGUAAUGAAGGCUCAAUUUCAUGGCUACUAAAGAAAAGGAAUUCAUAGGCUCAAAUGAUAUUUGAGGUUCUUUAUGGGUCUAGGAUCACUUUCAUUCCUUUACACUCUUUCAUCCUCUUUUGUGCAUAUGAUAUGCUAUCAAAGUCCUUUACUUUUAGGAAUCAAGAUAAAAGGAUCUUUCCAGGUUUUCUUUUCACUCUAUACUUUUGAUCGAACACCUAAUUGACUUUUCUUUCCUGAAAUCUCUUUACUCAAUGCUCUUUUCUUUUUCAAACCCUUAAUAGAAAACCUAAACAUGUUUUUUUUUUCAUUUGCAAUUUCCUCAUUGACUUUACUUUUCUUUGUUUGUUGAAGUUGUAGGAAAAGCCUUUGCUUGUUUUUUAGAUACUCAUGUGUUUUUUCAAGAUUUUUUAUUUUAGCAAAGCUCCUCUUUUUCUUGUUGGGCUUGCAGCCUCAAUCGUGGAUUCUAUUCAUAGGUAUUCUACCUUUUUUGGGUUUUCCAACCACAUCCUUAUUAUUUUCUAAUAUUUGCCCCUAAUAUAGGGUAUGAUCCGAGGGUUAUCUUAUGAAAAAACUUCAUUUUGGCUCGAAUUGGGACUACAAUGAAUAUAUUUAUUUAUAAGGGGUAUCAAAGAAUGACCUUUACUCAUUUUCAGCAAGAUUGAUUAGGACUGAUAAAUCUUGACCUCAUCAUCGUAGUGAUUUACAUGGAAUUUUUUCACGAUUCAUGAAAACUUUAUCGUCUUUGUUUCAUGCAACUUUUAUACGAUAAAAUUUGAUGGUUGGGUCAUCUAUUUGGGUUUUUGGGUACUUAGCCAUCUCCUAGGGAGUUGCUUAGUAAAUCAUUACUUUUGACAUAUCAUUGAUUUUUUUCUUGAAAUCGUUAGUUCAAGUUAAAUCUUGAAAACCUUUGUUUAAGAGAAAAUGAUUUUUUUGAGAAAAAUUUUUUGUUGAGUCAUUUGAGAUCAUUUGCAAAAUACAUAAGAUGUAACAAGAAUGAAUAAUCAAACUUUAUUGAUUUAAAGAAGAUUAGUACAUUAUGCAUAGUACUUCUUUACUUAAUUAGACUUUACAGGCCUAGGCAAUCGUCUCUAUCCAUUCUUCUCAAUAACAGAGAUCCCCUAGAGAAUGCUCUUUUUACUAAAUAUAGGCCUUCAUAGUUCGAUGCCUACUUACUUUGAUCCUCACCGAGUAGAGGUAAAAUCUUUCUCAACACUAAAUCUCCUUCCCGAAAUGCCCUAGGUCUGACCUUCUUAUCAUAUGCUUUAGCCAUUCUUUAUUGAUACAACUGGUGAUGACAAAUUACUGCUAAUCUCUUUUCACUUAUCAGAUUUAACUGCUCGUAUCUCAUUUUAACCCUAUCAGCUUCCUCAAGUUUUGAUUCCAUUAGUACGCUUGGAGAUGAGUUUUCACUUCUAGCAGCAUUACUGCUUUCAUCCUAUAAACUAAGGAAUAAGAUGUAUCUCCUGUAGAGGUCCUUAUUGCGGUGCGAUAUGUAUGCGGAGCAAAAGAGAGCAUUUCAUGUUAGUACUUGUACGUGACUAUCAUCUUCUGUAUAAUCUUGAUAUUCUUUAGAGGGUUUAAUUGUAAGAUCAAUUUAGGUUUUAAUUAGAAGAAAAUAAAGUUUAGGGGUCGAAUUGCAAUUUUUAAAAGUUAAUUUGAUCAAAUCAGGGGCUUAUUUGCAUAAAUUUCGAAGUUUGAUGGGCAAUUAAAGACCCAAUUGAGCAAAUCAAAAACCAAGGACCAACUUGUAAGACGCGCAAGACUUUAAGGUAUGAAAUUGGUGAAAUCAGGGGUCAAAUUGAAUAAAAUUAAAAGUUUGAUGGUCAAUUUGGGGUCCAAUUGAACAAAUUAAAAACCAAUGAUCAAAUUGUAAAAAGCUCUCAAUUUUAGGGUUGGCAACUGAGUUUGACAAGGGGUGAAAUUGUAUGAAAUUAAAAGUUCAAGAGGCAAUUAUGGGUGAAAUCCAAAGAUAUUGGAAGAUUAGGGAUUAAAAUGAAGUUUUCUAAAUCCCAAAUUAAAAACCCUAAUUUGUAGGGUUUAGCCAAGAUGAUGCAUCAUUCAACCAUUAUGCAUUUUCUUCUUUGACAGUUUUUGCUGAUCGAGAAAGUUUAACAGAGGUGAAUGAAUGUGGCAUUUCCAACCACUUCUGAGGUUGUAACUGAUUAGUACGUAAAAGUGCAUUUUCAUUAAGGUUUUAUAUCAUCAUAUUGCACUUAAAGUAUCAUUAAAUUCCUUAACUUAAGCAUGCUUUAUAAUAACAAGUCUGAUAAUAUAAAAUAUCUUUAAUUUAUGGUAAAUGCUCAUUUCAAAUGCAGGCAUGUUUCACAAUUCAAAUGAUUGAUUGAUUUGUUUAACUAUUGAAAUUAAGAAGACAAAGAGAGGGCUAAGCUUAAAGAAGAGAUGCUGGUUCAAUUCAAACUGGAAUACUAUUUGGUUAUUGCAUCAUAACUGGAGCUAUAGACCUUAGAUUUAGGUCUGGUUUAUCUUGAUGGAAAGUUAAGACAAAGGCCUAAAACUUUCAUAAAGACCCCAAGAUUCAAAACGGUCGUUUUCAAGCUCAAAUCAUAGCAACAAAAGAGACGUCUGAAUCUGUCAUGCAGCCCAAACACUGUUCAGCCCAUAUCUCAAGUUCUAGAAGUCCAAAUGAGCUCAUUUUUGUUUUUUUUUAAUCUAAGACAAAUGCCCAGAACUUUCAUGAAGACUAUCUGUUCAAAUUCGGAUGUUAGCAAUGACGUUGGUUCAGACAAGAAGAUAAUGGUUGUCACCAAGUCAAGAGGUGGCCACCAACCCAAUAAUUAGUCAUCAAAUCAAUAGUUCCGAAUUUUAGCCUACAAAAGGAGGCAUUUUCCAUACAUUUAGACAUAUUGGUUUUCAUAUCAAGAUCUUGCUCUUGCUCUAUUUGCAUUUUGUAAUGUUCAAGUUUUAUUUUCAUUAAUCUCUUGUUUAUGCUUUUCAUUUCCUUUACUAUACUUAGUUAACUUAUAUCAUAACUAUGUUCUUAUCUUGUUUAUUCAUGUUUCUCAUCUUCAUUAUGUUUAGCUAAGUUUAUUUUGUCAAGGUGAAAAGGUUACACUAAUGGUGUAAAAAUAAAUAUAAUAUAAACUCAACAUAGACUUUAAUGUUUGAUAUUAACAUGUUUAUAAUUGUUAUCUUUCUCACUCUUAAUACCUUACUUGUUAAAUGGUUAAUCUAGAUUUUUGUUGUACAACCAUUGGUAUAACAAAUACUUGAUCAUUUCAUAAUCAAUUGUAUGGUAUACCCGACACCUGUGUUAUGAAAGGAACUUGAUUUGUUGUUGACAUAAGUUAUCAUCAUGAAUACCUGACAAUAUUUACAAGUAUUGGCAUUACUCAAAUAAGAUAAUUAAUAUGGUCAUGUUAAUAAGUUAUACUUAUUUGAAAUACUAUUAGUGGAUCCUUUAACCUUGACAUUUGUUUUAUCCUUGUUUAAUCCUUACAUCAAUAUCACAUCUCAAAAGUUCUCUUCAACGCCUUUUUAUUUAUUAUUUGUAAUUUUAUAUAGUUGACCUCCUUGUGGUUCGACUCCGGUCUUGUCGGGUUAAUUAUUACUUCAACACUCUUGCACUUGGGAUAAGAUAUUAAUCUUUUGAUCGUGUUAGUAACCACCACUAUUUAACUAAGAAACACCCCCCAUAACCUUAUUUCAAUGAAAUCAAAUGAUUACAUCCCAUUUUUUCCAAUGAUCUCAACAACAUUUUGUCCCUGAUCAGCUAUCAUUGCAUUUUCAGAUUCUAUGUUGAUUGGGUUGACACUUUUAAAUGAAUGUAUGUGAAGCUACAUACCUCUAAAUUGAGCAAGAAUAGAUCAAAUCGAAAGAUAUGCACCCCUCUACCAAGUUCAGGUAGUCUCAGGCAACGUUGACGUCAAAUCUUUUCCGGAGAAGCCAUGAAAGUGGCCAACCCAGUCAGCCUUAACUAAAAUACUCAUUCACACAAAACCACCCAACUUUUUCAUGUGUUCACACUUAAAAAAUCCCAAAAAGGUUCCAAUCAAAGGCUGAGAAGACUUCUCUCAAGAUAAAAAGGGUGAAACACUUCACCUUAGCCUCCAAGUUUGUUACAAAGCCACUUAAAUCCAAAACCAUUUAUCUUGUGAUAAAACCAACCUAGUUUUUGUUUUUUAAAACCCCCACAAACUUAUUUAGAAGCUCAGAAUCAACCUAUAAAGGGAGAGAUAAUCAAAGGAGAAAAGAGGAUAAAAAAGACAAAGAAAUAUGGAAGAAAUUUGGUUAAGGUUUAAAGAAUCCAAAAUCAAGCUCAUGAGCAUAAAAGGACCCAUUUGUUUUUUAUGGGUUUAGAGAUAAGAAGAAAGGAAGGUAGUAGGAGAAAUCUAUUCUUUUUGAAGAUUUCAAGCUUGAAAGGUAUAUUCUUGCAAGCUUUGAAAGUGGAGUCCAUGAGGCUUGUUGGAUUUUGUUUUAUUGUUCAAAUGCAAUUUUUUUUUAAUGUGUUGACAUGAUGAUUACUACCUUAAUAUAUUAAGUUUACACUUUAUUUUGAUUUAAAAUUUGCCAAAUAUAACAGCAAGGUUAUGAUUUUUUUUUUUUUGUGUUGGGUGAUGCAUGUUUCUGGGUUUCUAAGUUUUGUUUGGUUCUUAUUGAAGAUUUCGAAGAAUAUUUUAAAUCCAAAUUGUAUAAAUAUAUAGGCUUUUCUAAGUUGGCAGUUUUGAAUCUCUUACAUGUUUUUUGAUGAUUUAUUGUUUUUUAUAGUUUUUUUUUCAACUAUGCUUGACAUUGAUAAUAUGGUUUAUUAGAAUGAAAAUAAAUAAAUUUAGAGGCCUAAAAUGACCAUUCUAGGUUGGAUAGUGACUAGCUUUUUCUAGGUUUCCAAGGUAGUGUUCUUUAUGUUCAUGGGAAGAACUGUAAACCUUUAGAUAAAAUAAUCUCAUCUUGAUUUAGUAAAGUAAAAUAAAAUAUAAGGAUGUGGAGAAAUGAUUAAAUUGAAUAAGUUAAUUGGAUUAAAAGAGAAGUUAUUUAAUGAGAGGGGUGAAAUUGAAAACAAUAAUAAAGAAGUAAGGAGUUAGUAAAGAGAAAAAGAAGUAGCAGGGUCAAUGGAUUAAUAAAAGGAAUGGUGGGGUCAAUGUGAAAAUAGAAGUAACUAUAAAGGGGCAAGAUACAAAUAAGGAAAGAAUAUAAUUAUAAAUAACAAGAAAUCUCUAGAAAUUCCUAGAGUAAUGGCCACCCAAGGAGAGGAAGAAAGACGAGAAAAGAAAAAUUAAGAAGAAACCUUGUAGAUUCAUCCUUUGAAUCCAAAGAAAAAUAAGAGUAAGUGAACUAAGAGUGCUUCAAGUAAGAAUUAGGAAGAAAACUUUGAGAAAACCUAGAGAAUUUACUAGUGGGAAGGGAAAGGUUAGAAGAAGGAAGAAAGGGGAAGAAGAAAAGGGGUUGUUCUCAAUCUCUUGACUCAUUUUUUUUGUAAUAAAAGGUAACAAACUCUGUUAUUAAAUUACUUGAACUUGUUUGUGUUUUUCUUGAAUAAUUGAGAUUUUAGAAUACCUUAGUAUAGGUUUAAGAAGUUUGUUAAAUAAUGAUAGGUAGAGGUAUUUUGUGUUUAUAGUGAUUGGAAAUGAUGCAAAAAUGCAUGGGAAACGAAUUUAUACUUGUUGAACUUAGAAAUCAAAACUGGACAGGUUGUCUUUCAAUUUCUCUACCAAGAUUUGAACUCUAAGAUGACAAAAUUUGAGAUAGUUUUCUUCAUAAAAGUUGUAGACAUGGAUGUUAUUUUUCAAAUGAAAUUAACCUUACUUAAAUUGGAGUGACAAAACACUAAAUAUGGAAGAAAAUCUGAAGAUAGGUCAAAACUCGGGAAUCAGCAGGACAAAUUUUUGGGUUUCUGCAAUUUGUGAAUUUAGGCAUUUAGAUGGAAAAACCGGGUAUAUUCAUCUUCAUAAAGUUGUAGACCUAUGUUUUAGUGUUCUAAAGAAACAAACCACGCAUAAAACUGAGUUCUAUAGCUUCAGUUAUACUCCAAAUACUAAACAGUGGUUGGAAUUCGUUAUUUUGAGCUACCUAAAACUUGUAAAUUAGUAACUUCUGUUUGGAAUUGUUUUUUAUUAAAAAAUGUUGAAUUAUGAAGGUAGUACGUAUAUGUGUGUAUGUGUGGUCAAGACUUGAAAUUUAAAUUAGUGUAACUAUUGGUACAGGUGAGAUUGUGAGAAAUAGACGAGAGUAGGGGAUGAUUAAUAGAGCAUAGAUUUCAGGUAAGUGUCUGACAUUUAGAUCUAUAAUUUGAAGUCUUGUUUAAUUAUUUAUCUUAGUCCCUAAUAAGAUUUUGUUCAAAUUUUUGCAUUUAUCAAAAUGGCCAAUGAAUAUAAAAAGAAGACAACCUUCGUUAUUCCAUUGAGAACUUUUUGCUACAAAGUGAUGUCAUUCGGACUAAAAAACGUUGGGGCCACUAAUAAAAAAAGCAAUGAUAACUCUAUUCCAUUACAUGGUGCAUAAAGAAAUUGAAGUGUAUAUGGAUGACAUGAUUGCUAAAUCCAAGAAGGGAGAAGACCAUUGUCAGAAUAUGAGAAAACUAUUUGAAAGGUUGAGAAAGUAUCAAUUGAAGUUGAACCCCGAAAAAUGCUUAUUUAGGGUCAAACAUAGAAAACUACUGGGAUUUAUAGUGAGUAGCCAAGGUAUUGAAGUUGACAUCGAUAAAGUAAAAGCAAUUCAGGCCAUGUCAACACCUAAAAUAUAAAAAGAAGUAAGAUGGUUUUUGGCGUUUGAAUUACAUUGCUUGAUUUAUAUCUCAAAUGAUAACAACUUGUGAGCCAAUCUUCUAACUCUUUUGAAAGAAAAAUCCUGGGGUAUGGAACUAGGAAUGCCAAGAAACUUUUGAUAAAAUCAAGCAGUAUUGGCAAAAUUCAUCUUUCCUGAUGCCUCAUGUUUCUGGCAGACUGUUGAUUCUAUAUCUGACAAUAACUGAAAAGGCAAUGAGAUAUGUACUCAAGUAACAUGAUGAGUCUAAAAGAGAGGAGAGAACGAUUUAUUAUUUGAGUAAGAAGUUCAUAAAUCGCGAGUCCAGAUACACAAUGGUAGAUAAGCUUUGUUGUGCUCUUGUAUGGGCUACAAAACAACUUCAACAGUAUAUGUUGUAUUACACUACAUGAUUGAUUUCAAAAUUGGAUCUUCUUAGAUAUAUCUUUGAAAAACUUUAUUUAUCAAGUAGGAUAGUAAGAUGGUUGGUGUUGUAGUAUGAGUAUGACAUCGUGUACAUGACAAGAAAAGUUAUGAAAGGAAUUGUUAUUGCUGAUCAUUUGGCAGACAAUGCAACUGAAGAUUAGGAACCUUUGAAUUUUCAUUUCCCAAAUAAAGAUAUGCUGGUAGUAGAAAAAGAAAAAGAACUAGACUAGUGGACAAUGUAUUUUGAUGGAGCAGUAAAUAUACAUGGCAAUAAAGUAGGAGUAGUGAUAAUUUUCCCUAACAUAAAGUAAUACAUUGUUUUGAUCAAAUUGCAAUUUGAAUGCACCAAUAAUAUGGCUGAGUAUAAAGCUUGCAUUCUUAGAUUAGAAGGUGCAUUAGAGUUGAAGAUAAAAAAACUUGAUGUUUAUGGAGACUUAAUGCUGAUAAUAUGUCAAGUUAAAGGAGAAUUCCAAACAAAAAUUGAGAAAUUGAGGCCAUAUCAAUAAUAUAUGUCCAAACUAGAAAAAGAAUUUGACGAGAUAAAAUUCAACAAAAACUAAUUUGUUGAUGAUUUGGCCACUUUAGCUUUCAUGGCCAAAAUCGAUUAUGGGAACAAAGUACAACCCAUAAGUAUUGAAGUCAGGAAUUAUUUGGCCCAUUGCUGCUCAAUUAAAGGAGAAAUAGAUAAGAUUCUGUAUAUUAUGAUAUCAAAUAGUUUAUCCAACACCGAAAGUAUUCCCUGGGGCAUCCAAUACAGAUAUGAAAACCCUGCGAAGGUUAGCUAUGGACAAUUACCUCGAUAUUUGAAGUGUUAUACAAGAGGUCGUCCGAUGAAAAAUUAUUGAGAUGUUUGGAUGGGAUAUAAGCAAAAAAGACGCUCCAAGAAGCUCAUGAAGGGAUUUGUGCAACUCAUGUUAGUGGACAUAUAAUUUCUAGACAAGUACAGAUGUCAGAAUAUUUUUUGAGGACCAUGGAAAGAGAUUGCAUAAAAUAUAUCAGAAAAUGCCAUAAAUGUCAAGUGUACAGUGAAAAGAUAAAUAUGCAUCCAACUCUUCUAUUAAAUUUAACAUCUCAAUGACCAUUUGCAAUGUGGGGAAUCAAUGUAAUUGGGCUUGUCAAUCCAAAGGCUAGCAACAGACAUCAGUUUAUCCUAGUGGCCAUUAACUCCUUCAUAAAAUGGGUAAAAGCUAGUUCACAUGCUCAUGUAACCCCUAAGGUAGUGAAGAGAUUCAUUGAAUGAGAUUUAAUUUGUCGAUAUGGAGCACCAGAAAAGAUAAUGACUGAUAAUGCUUAGAACUUCAAUGGAAGAAUGAUAGUAGAGAUUUGCACAAAAUGAAAAAUCAAACACUCAAAUUCAUCUUCAUACAAGCAAAAAAUGAACGGUACUGUAGAAGCUGCCAACAAUAAAUUUGAUUGAGCCUUGAAAAAAUUUCAGUUGAGUCCCUAAACAUCCAAAAUUGAAUUUUCCUCCUCGAAUUGAAUUUUCUAUGUCAAUAGGGUCUUUAUUAGUCAAAAAUAUAUUGUCAGGUCUAAUUUUGAUCUUCCUCUAAUAGUCUUUGGCCAUUUCUUAGGCGUUCUGAUACGUUCUCAUAUAUAUAUAUAUAUAUAUAUAUAUAUAUAUAUAUAUAUAUAUAUAUGAUUUUAUUCCAACAUUUCUUUCAAUUUUUUGUAUUAUUGUUUUUAUGUGGUUCAUAAAAAAUGAAUAACAACAGAUGUCUCCUCUUUACAAUGACUUGUUAAGUGCUUUGCAUAGUAAGUUUGUAAAGACAAACUAAUUGUUCUUCCAAAACUUAUCUUCUUGAAGCUUCUAGUUCAGUUGACUUGAAACUCUGUCUUCGCAACAACUUUUUCAACUAGAACUAUGAUUAAACUGUUUACAACUUGGAUAACCUAAAAUCUCAAUCUAGUAAUUCCAUUUAACCAGAAUCAAAAGCUCAGUCAACCUGAGAUCCCAAUCUGGAGAUCCCCUUUAACUAGAAUCAAAAUUUGAAAACCAGCUUAGCUAACCUGAAAUCUCAAUCUGACUAUUCCCUUUAACUAGAAAUAAAAGCUAUGUCAACCUGAGAUCUCAAUCUGGCAAUCCCCUUUAACGAGAACCAAAAUAUAAAAAACAGCUCGGCUAACCUGAAAUCCUAAUAAGGUGAUUUCCUUUAACUAAAACCAAAAGCUCGAUCAACUUGAGAUCCCAAUCUAGCAAUCCCCUUUACUUAGAACCAAAAAAUCUUUAAAGCUUAGCUAACUUGAAAUCUUAAUAUGGUGAUUCCUUUUAACAGAACAAAAAUGUUGCCUUCAGCUCAAUUAACCUGAAAUCUCAAUUUAGAGACCCCCUUUAACUGAAACAUUGAUAUUUGUCUUUAACUCGAUCAACCUAAAAUUCCAAUUUAGUGAUCCCCUUUAACCAGAAUCAAAAUGUUUCCUUUAACUCAAUUAACCUAAAAUCUCAAUCUAGAGACCCCCUUAAACCAAAACCUUGGUCUUUGUUUUUAGCUUGGUCGACCUGAAAUCUCAAUAUUGCGAUCCCGUUUAACCAAAACCGAAACGUUUUGUUUCCUCUUUCAGCUCAGCUGACCUGAAACCUUGAAUCUCAGUGAUCCCCUGCAACUAGAGUUUUCCAAAGACUCCUUUUUUAUUGGUCUUUCACUUGUCUAGUCUAAUUUCAAGAAUUAUUUGUAAAAUAAAAAACUUGUGCAAUGUUUUAGGGUUAAAUGCAUGCAUUUUAAGGGCUUUUAUUCGUUUUCUUUUUAUAUUACUUGUUUUGUUUUAGGGCAUAAAUCUUUUUUAAGAAACAAAACUUUAAAAGACUUUUGUUUGUUCAUGAAAACUAAAACUUUCAAUGUAUUCAUCAAAAUAGUUCCUUAAGUAAAUCCCCUUAAGGGUUUUAUCGGAUCUCAAAAUAUGGUUCGUUUAUAGGUCAGGCUUUUACCGGAGGUGACCUUCUAUUUCAGUUUUUCAAAAAGGUUUCAAUUAUUUACUUGAAGAGAUCUGUAUAGAAAUUUUUUUUUUCCUCAUUUUAGAAUAUACAAUUUUCUUGCAUGGAUAAAAGCGGGUGACUACUCAUUUAUCAUGUCAUGUGAACAAUAAGAUCACCGUUUUUCAAACAAGGUUGUGUGUGCUUAAUUAGAAAGGACUUCUAAAGGCACGCAAUGUAGGCUAUGGCUAUGGUUAUGGGCUAUGAAAGAAAUAUAUGUUUUUUAGGCUCAAAAAGUAUUUAAGGGUUUAAAACUUAGGAUCACUUUUUUUCUAUCUCUUUUAUCUUGUGAGGCUAUCUCAUGGACUUUGUUUGAAUAAACUCUUUUUAUGAAUGAAGAGUCUUGCUUCAGGAUCUUUGCCUCCGUCUUAGAAUGUUAUCAAACCAUUCUUUUCUAUUUUUUUUACUUCUUCCUUUUUUUAUUUUUUGUUUCCUCAUUCUUGUCCUUUCCUUUUUAUGAUUAUGCCCCCUAGUGUUAGGUUCUGACUUUCAUAGAUUCAUGUGUGCAUUAUGACAUUUUGCUCUUAUUUUCAUCUUUUUUUGCCCCUUAGUGUGGAGUGUGAUCCUAGUCAGGGUUUUUGUGAGGAAAAACUUAUUCAAACUCAAAUAGAAACCACAAGGGAUAUAUUCUUAGAAAGUGAAUGGACAACAUAGAUAGUCUUACCUCAUUUCAAACACACAUCAUUAGUAUUGAUAAACCUUAUCCUUUUUUCUGAAAGAACUUGUAGGUGAUUAUAGAUUUACUACCAACCAUUUAUCUAUGCAAUUCAAAAUGUUAUUCAGAGACAAGGUUCCAUCUCAUAGUUAGCUCUGGUUUAUUUGGUUUGGUCACCUUUUAAUCGAGAAUUGCUUAAAUCUCAUCUUGAGCAUAUUAUGUUUCAUUCAUUGCAAUCAUGCACAAAACCAGUUCUUUAUAAGAUUUGUUUUUAGAAAAAGGAUUUCAAAUGUUGUGAGAUCAUGAAAUUUAUAAAGGUUCUUUACACUAAGAAUUCAUGGUCAAACUUCCCUUUAUUGACAUAGAAAGAAAGUUGGAUACAUCAUGCAUAAUAUCUUUUUACAUAAUCAGAAUUCACAAGUCUAGCUAAAUCUUCUUCAUCCAUUAUAGACAAUCUUAGAGCUCUUCUUAAGAAAGUCUUCUUCACUACAUAAGGACCCUCGUAGUUUGGUGCUCAUGUACUCUCGUGUUUUCCUAGUAAGGGCAAUAUUUUUUUCAGCAUUAGAUCUCCUUCUUAAAAUACUCAAGGUCGAACUUUCUUGUCAUAUAUCUUAACCAUUCUUUUUGGUAAAGUUGGUGAUGACAAAUUGUAGUUAUCCUUUUUUCAUUGAUCAUGUUUAGUUGUUCAUACUUCAUAUCUUACUUUGGCCCACUCGGCCUUUUCUAACUCAGAAUCUAUCAAUAGUCUUAACGAGGGGAUAUCUACUUUCAAAUGUAUCACCGCCUCCAUUCCAUAUACCAAAAAAAUAGGGUAGCUCUCGUUGAAGUUCUUGUUGUAGUGUGAUAUGUAUGGAGGGUAAAUGACAACAUCUCAUGCCAAUCUUUGUAGGUGAUCACUAUUUUUUAAAUAAUCUUUUUGAAAUUCUUAGUGGCAACUUCUACAACUUUGUUCAUCUUUGACUUGUAUGGUGAGGAAUUGGAAUACUUGAUUUUUCACUUGACACAUAGCUCUAUUAUCAUCUUGCCAUUGAAGUUCUGAGAAUUAUCAAUCACUAUUUUUUAUGAUGGACCAUAUCGGCAGAUCAAGUCCUUUUCUAUAAAUCUUCUUACCAUCUUUUGUGUUACAUGUAUAAAUAACUGGCUUCUAUCCAUUUUGUGAAGUAGUCUAUAGCCACAAGGAUAAACCUAUGACCAUUAAUGGCUUUUAGAUUGAUAGGUUCAAUCACAUCAAUUCCCCAAAUCGUAAAUGGCCAUGGAGAUGUUAGAUUGAACAUGGGAGUUAGAGGUGCAUUGAUCUUAUCGCUAUAUGCUUGACACAUAUAACAUUUCCUGACACAGUCAAUACAGUCCCUUUCUAAUGUUAUCCAGAAAUAACCAUCUCUUUGUAUUAUAUGAAAAUUGGACUAAUAAUAUUUUUUUAUUGAGAAUAAGCUUUAAAUAGGUUUUAUACGAAGAAUACAUUAACAAGCAUGAUAGAAGUCUAAGAAGGAAGAAAAAUGAAGACUUAGUUUAAGUAUUAAUUUUUAGUGUUAAAUGUAAAUCUUUAUAUCCUACGUGAUAACACAAAUUAAAAUGAACACACUUCACUUUGCAUGCAUUUAAAAGGAUUGAUAAAGAGGUUCUAAGAAAUCACUAGGAUUAAAAUUAUCAAAACUGGAAUUUUGCAUGAACCAGUUGAUCGUUUGAUAAUACCAAAUGAACCAGUUGACCACUUGUUCAUCCGUGAUGAGCAUUUGAGAAUUAUAAAGGAAUUGGUCGACUGAUUGGCUUGACUAAUUUGAACAAAUCAACCAUUUCAGCCAUUAAUGGAGUUGUAAUGGUUAUAAACGACUAGUUUUUGCUAGAAACAUAUAUAUAGCUUGCCAGAUUAUAGAAUUGAAGGAAGAAUACACACACACACACACACACACACACACACACACACAAGCUAUUUUAAGAGCAAAAACACUUUACAUAAUUAAUCUUUAAUAUACUCAUAUUUGUGCAUUAAAUUGAACAAGAGUAUACACUCUCAUUCUUACAACACUUAGACCCCGUUUGUUUGCUGGAAAGUAGUUUCCUUUUGGAAAGUGAAUUCUGGGAAAGUGAAUUAUUUUCUGAUGUGUUGGUAAUGUAAUGAAAAAUAAGUUGGAAAACACUUUCCAGUGUUUGGUUAUGUCAUGGAAAAUGAGCUGGAAAAUAACUUAUUAAUUUUUUAUUUUUCUCAAGUUUAUUAAAAUAAUGAGGAACAAAUCUUACAAAUUAAAAAGUUGAAUGAGAAUAAAAUUGAAAAAAAAUAUAAUUUCAUAAAUUAUCUCAAAUAAAAUAAAUAAUAAUCAAAAUAAUAGAGAUAAAAUCUAAAAAAUAAAAAAAAUGAAAGAUGAAGAAAUUAAAAUAAUAAUAAUUAACAUUUCAUAAAUUAUUUCAAAUAAAAUAAGUAACAAUCAAAAGAAUGAGGAUCAAAUUUGAUAGAUAAAAAAUUUCAAUAAAAAAAUGAUAAGGGAAAAGCAAAUAAGAAUUAUAAAAAUGAGGACCAAAGUUAAUAUAAAAAUUAAAUUUUAAGAGAUGAAAUUGAAAAAUAAAUAUUCAAAACAAAAUAUAUAUAGCAAUCAAAAGUUUGAGAACCAAAUUUGAUAUAAUCAACAAAUAAUAUGAUAUUUCUAAAUUUUUCACAACUUCCAAAAAGUGUUUUCUGCCCAAAUUUUCUAGGAAAACACUUUCCUGGAAACCAAGCCAAAUUUUCCUUUGACUGGAAAGUAUUUUUCGUUGACCAACUUUUCUAAUGGCAAACAAACACAGGAAAGUUUGGAAAGGGUUUUCCGGAAACUACUUUCCGGAAAACAAACAUAACCUUAAACACUUUAUAAUUCAUUAAGUGUUAUGUAGUGAGAUAUAAAGAUACUUAGAUUCUUAAUUGUAAAAUCCAUUAGAUUGAUAGAGUAAUUCUGUGAUAACAAAAUCAUAUUUGUAAACCCUUGAGAAAACCUUAAAAGAGAGAACAUCUUUAAGUGAUGUAAUAAGUUAUGUGUGGAUUCAUCAAGUGACAAUUGUACCUUUUGACUUGGGCUAGUGAAAGAAUAUAAUACUCAAGUACGAUUUGGAAGAAUAUAAUACUCGAGUACGAUUUGGAACUUGAGGUGUUAAUAUAAGCUUAUCGAAUCACGUUCAAAACUGAGUUUGUAAUUUCUCUCUCUUAUCUUUUAUUUUAAGCAAUUGUUGAUUAUUGUUUGUUAUUUUGUUUAAUUAAAUUAAAUUGUAUUAUUUUUUAAUAUUAGUGGAAUACUUAAUUCACCCCAUAUGUGUUAUUGUUGCCUUAAUCAUAGAACAACAUCUUUUACUGCAAAUUUUAACAGUUUUAAUUAAUGAAUAAAGAUUGAGUUUUGCUUGUGUAAAUAUGGUUUUUUAACUGAGACAAAUAUCACAAAUUGACUUAUUAACAUAUAAUUGGUUUUGUGAUAUUUUUUCAUGUUUCGAGUUUUUGAUUCAUUAUAAUCAACAGUCCAAGUUUAAUUGCUAAUAUGUUUAAUUUUCAGAUACAUAAUUAUUUUUAAAUUAAAUUCUUUUAUUCGAACUUGAUUUUUAACUUUUUUAUGUUUGUUAUCUUCUCACUUGUUGGUUUCUGAAUAAUAUAUUCACGGGAUUCACAGCACCAACAAACCUUCCACUUUUCACUUCUCGGGAAGAGGAAUGAGAGGGAGAAAUAACUAGCUCUCAAGCUAUCCUUUCAAUUUGGAAAGACAACCUCAGCCGGAACCCGAGAAGGCACUGGAUAACCAAGAGAGCGAGUCACUAGAUGUAAGAACCCAAUAUAAUUAUCCGUACGCUGACACAUUCAAAAUGAUGAAGAUGCGUUUUGGGUAUGUGAAGAUUGGCUCGGAGAAACCUACCGCCACCUUGGGGAUAAGAUUUGCUAAAAAAUAUCCCUAUAUGAAUUUGAAAAGCAUUAUCACAGGUCAAUUUGUCUUUUGAUAUCUCUUCGUCCUUGAGAGGCUCAGAGUACCUCAAAUCAAUCCAGAAUUUUUAUUUUUUUUCUUUCUAGUCCUUUCUUUUUAGUCUUCGUUAUAAAUUCAAUUUAAUCCCUUGCAUCUUUGAAAUUAUUACACCCCACAGCAUAAAUACGAAGAUACCUUCACCAUUAAAAGAACAAUCAUAGCGCACAUCGAUUAACGUAAAUUGAAUAGGAAACGGGAAAGGAGCAUCCAAAGUUCGACCAAUAGUUGAGCAAAACUGGUUUGGCUUUGUUUUUUGUUCGAAUAUAAACGAAUAAAGAUCGACCAACAGGGAGAAAAAUGAUGCUACAGAAAACACGCUGAAGCAUCAUCUUGUCUGGUUAGGCAAAGGAAUAAAAAAGAAAAAGGUAAAAGGAUCAUUUGUUCGUUGCAAAUACUGUUUAGCUGAUUGCCCUGAAAUCCCAUGACUGAGAACCUCCACCGGGACCGGUUUCACCUCGCCAUACAUGCUCGCUGGAAACGGGUGCGGUGCCGGCUAGUCAAGGUGGAAGCCCACCUUUGGGCUAGACGUCUUUGGGUUCUCUUCCGCCCCUGUGUGAUGCAAUGUUCGGUCAACAUCCUCUGUCUUCAGAAAAAGUAAUUUGCUCUUUUAUCAAAAGAAAAACGACAAAUUCUAGUAACCAACAGUAUGCAAAGAAACGCAUUGCCAAUUUUUUCUUUUUCCCUAUUAAAUUAACUUCCCAUUUAAUUUUAGAUGGUUUGAUAUUGUAAUAAUAAUUGUUUUUUAAAAUAUUUUUUUAUUAAAAAAUACAUUAAAAUAAUAUAUUUUUUAUUUUUUAAAAUUUAUUUUUAAUAUUAACAUAUAAAAAAUAUUUUUUAAAUAUAAAGACAAACUGGAUAAAGUUCAGUUGUUUCCAAUGUAACUUUCUGGUCAAGGAGGUAGGACCAGAAGGAGUCAUUCAUUAGCAUGGCAUUCGAUGGUUUUAUCGCCAGCAUGUUUUAGUUCGGUAUUAUCAUCAAGUAACCAUUGGAAGAAUAAAAAAAAUUGCUUUUAUUUUAUUUUUUUCGAACUCAGCCAUCUUUCUCGUGUCAUCUUUGAAAUAGUGAUUCGAUAUUGAUAUUGUAUUGGGAUAAAAACCAUGAAGUUAUUUAGAACAAACUAGAUAUGUUCCUCGUACAUUGUCACGGACCACACAAUUUUUUUUAAUGUAAAGAAAGUGGUAAAUUAAAAAAAUAUUAAUUCUUAAUUCAUUGGUUAAAUUGAUAAUUUAAAUAUUUACAAAAGAAAACCAACAACAUUAAAUAAACCUAUAAAAAACAUAAAAAAUUAAUAUUAAAAAAGAUAUUUAUAUCAUGGUAAAAAGAUCAUUCUAUCCCAAAACUAAGAUAAAAAUUUAAAAUAUCAAGAGAUAAAAAAAUCUUGAUAUUAUUAUAAUGAAUAGUAUUUUGCAUCCUAGAACACGAUAAAUAUUCAUAAGAGAAUUAAUGUUUUGGAUGAUGAAUAUAUACUUUUAAUUUUUAUAAUUUAAAAAUAUAAAAAGUUUAUUUAAAAAUUGUGUUAAUGAAAUUUAUUUUUAUAUCUUUAACUUUGUUAUUAUAAAAAAUUAUUUUAAUUAUUUUAUAUUUAUUUUUUUAUUCCAUAACACAUUUAGAUUUCAUUUUGAAUGUGAAAUGAUAAAACAUCAUUAAAUGAAUGAUAUACAAACUAUAAAAAAUCAAAGUAAAACGUACCAAAGUAAAACGUACCAAUCCAAUUAUAGCAUUCCAAGAACAUCUCAAAUCAUUGUCAAAUUACAAAAAAACAAAUUAACUGGAUAAUACACACAAGUGGCGGGAUAUUUGGUGGAAUAAGGCGUGUUUGGUGGGUUUCACCGGCAGUUUUGCCAAAAUUUGAUUUGUUUUUGUUUUAAUUUUUUUGAAUUUUUUUAAUGUUUUUAUAUCAAAAAUAAAUUUUAAAAAAAUAAUAAAAAAAUAUUUUAAUACAUUUUACAAAUAAAAAAAUAAUUUAAAAAACAAACAAUAUAACUUUCCAAACAGCUCCUAAUUCAGAUGCCAUUUUUUUUUUUUUUUAAAAAAGGAAAACCGCCAGCGCCGAGGACUCAGUACCCUCGUCCCUUGUUUUGAGCAUCUAACAGUGACAGUUUCCCAAUAGCGAUCGUUCAAAAAUCAAACACGCAAUUCUCAUUUUCUCUUUCUCAGCUAUUUACUAUAAAUUGGCCUCCUCUUCCUCAUCCAAAGUAAGUAACACACACACACACACACUCUCUCUCUCCCUCUCUUCUCCAAUCUACAACCAGUUUUUUAAUUCCUGAUCACCCAGACCAUACUAGACCAUACAGCUUCUUCUUUGAUCGAUCAUGGCAAACCCUAAACUUGAAAGAAUUCCCAGCAUGAGGGAGCGCGUGCAGGACACUCUCUCCGCUAACCGUAACGUGCUUGUCUCUCUCCUCUCCAGGUUUCUACCAUCAUUUCUCUCUCUCUCUCUCUCUCUCUCUCUCUCUCUUGUUUUACAGGAAGUAGUAACUUUUUUAUUGGUAUUGUGGAAGGAAGGUAUGUGGAGCAGGGAAAAGGAAUUCUGCAUCCGAAUAAUCUGAUAGAUGAACUGGACAAUAUCGUGUGCGAUGAUGCAGCAAGGCUGAGUCUCAAAGAUGGUCCAUUUAGUGAAGUCCUCAAAGCUGCGCAAGUCAGUCCAUUUUCUUUUUAUUUAGUUACUGAUUGUUAUAAUUUAUGCUUGUUCUUAGUUAGUUGCUUUGGGAUUUUUUUUUGUUUGUGAAUUUUACAAAGCUUGCAACAAAUUAUUGCUUGGGAUUAUAAUUUUUCUUUUUAUUAUGUUCUUCUUUUUUGAAAAAAAAAAUGUAUUGAUGGUGAUAUGUAUAGGAAGCCAUAGUUCUGCCUCCUUUUGUGGCCGUAUCAAUUCGUCCGAGACCUGGAGUUUGGGAAUACGUACGUGUUGAUGUCUCCCAACUGAAUGUGGAGGAAUUGACUGUUUCACAAUAUCUUCGUUUCAAAGAAGAACUUGUUGAUGGCCCGUAAGCAUCUUCGCACUCUUUCUUUUCCUUUUAUGGUGAAAUUAUUGGUUUACUUUUUAUCAUUUCGCUACAGAACAUCUCAUGUAUCCAUGACUCUGUUUUGUUUAUUUAUUAUUUUUUUGUGGUCACUUUCUUACUAAAAAUCUUUGGGUUAUUUAUGUGCAUGAUUGUUUAUGUUUUUGGUUUUUUUUUUCAUUACUUUUCUUUGGGCCAUUGAUUAACGACCUCUUUGUUAUUUUUUUGAAUAGAUCUAAUGACCCUUAUGUGCUUGAGCUUGAUUUUGAGCCCUUCAAUGCCGCUUUUCCUCGUCCCACCCGGUCAUCAUCAAUUGGCAACGGUGUUCAGUACCUCAACCGACAUCUUUCUUCAAAUAUGUUUCGUAAUAAAGACACUUUGGAACCUUUACUUGAUUUCCUCCGAGUCCACAAAUACAAAGGGCAUGUAAGUAUGUCGUGGAAGGGCCUCCUUUAAGAGUGCCUAUAACUUCCAGAUUUAGGCAUUUAUCCUCUGUGUUAUUGUUGAUUGUUAUUGCACAUUCAGAAUUUAUUAUGAUGGUAUUCACAUGGCUUGGGUUUGAAACAUGUGGAAGAAGGAUGAUGGGAAUAGUACUUAGUAUGGGGUUUCAGUGGAGCUAAAUGAUUGAAUUAAGGAUUAUUUGCAGGCCUUAAUGUUGAACGAUCGGAUAAAAAGUGUAUCCCGACUUCAGUCUGCUCUUCUUAAGGCAGAAGAGUAUAUUUCGAAGCUUCCUUCUGAAACACUGUACACUGAGUUUGAAUAUACGUAAGGAUCUUGUAUCUUUAACUCGUUGGAGUAUGUUAACAGUGAAAUUAAUUUGUUGAACACUCUUUCUACGUGCCUAAAGAUUUUCUUUUCUUGUUUCACUCUGAUUCAGCUUUCAGGGAAUGGGUUUUGAGAGAGGGUGGGGGGAUACUGCAGCUCGGGUACUGGAGAUGAUGCAUCUUCUCUUGGACAUACUCCAAGCUCCUGAUCCCUCAACUUUAGAGACAUUCCUUGGGAGAGUACCAAUGGUGUUCAAUGUUGUUAUUUUGUCUCCACAUGGAUACUUUGGGCAAGCAAAUGUUUUAGGUUUGCCUGACACUGGUGGGCAGGUAUGUAUGGCUUUCUUUCAACCUUCAAUGUUUUCUUUUUUACAUCUCUGCAGCGUGCAGAACAAAUACUUAUUUAUGCUGCAUGGUUAUUUCCUUUAUUAAGACAGUUGGUUCCUAAUGUACUUCUAGAUUGUGUAUAUCCUGGACCAAGUUCGUGCUCUGGAGAAUGAAAUGCUCCUUAGAAUACAGCAGCAGGGAUUGGACUUUAAGCCUAAGAUUCUAAUUGUAAGUGCAUUUAUGCUUGUCUUGGGUCCAUUACUUCAACUUUAUCACUUUGAUAGCUGUUGAUUGUCCCUCUUUCUGUAAUACAUUUUCCAUCGAUUCUUGAAGGUUACCAGGUUAAUUCCUGAUUCAAAAGGGACUAGCUGCAACCAGAGGCUGGAAAGAGUCAGUGGAACGGAACACACUCACAUUCUGCGAGUACCAUUUAGAUCAGAGCAUGGGAUUCUCCGUAAAUGGAUCUCAAGGUUUGAUGUGUGGCCAUAUUUGGAGACAUUUGCUGAGGUAGAACAUGGUUAUCCUAUAUCAUUAUAAAGUGCAAGUACCAUUCAUAGUUCUUAUUUUUGUUUUUAUUAUUAUCAAAUCUUGAUAACACUGUAAUCAAAUUUUUUGACAUGCUCAUAGUUUCAUGGUAUCCAUAUAAUUAAUGAGUAUCAUGUGUCAAGAUUUUCACUUUUAUCAUCAGUUAAACAUAUCUGCAGUCAUUUGACAAUUUUCCAUUUUCAUUAGACUACAUCUUAUGCUCUAUUUUUGUAUUAACAUUGCACUGAUGCAGCUGUCAAUUUACUGCCUCUUCCUUUUACCAUCAUCACCUCCUUUCUCCUUAAUGUACAUGUAGCUUAAGCAUAAAGUUUUAAAUUUUUUUUCAUUUAUUCAUUUUUGUGGCUCUCUCAAUUCUUUUUGGUUAUACCAUUAUAAUCAGGAUGCAGCCAGUGAAAUUGUAGCUGAGUUACAGGGCAUUCCUGAUUUUAUUAUAGGCAACUACAGUGAUGGGAACCUCGUUGCGUCUUUAUUGGCUUACAAGAUGGGUGUCACACAGGUUUGCUAUGACUGGUAUCUUUAAAUAUGAAUUACAGUCCCACGGAUCAUUUACCGAAAGGAGUGUUUACAUUUUUUAAGUUUUGAAAUUUGCAGUGCACUAUUGCCCAUGCCUUGGAGAAAACAAAGUAUCCUGAUUCAGAUAUUUAUUGGAAAAAAUUUGAUGAUAAAUACCACUUCUCAUGUCAAUUCACUGCUGAUGUAUUAGCCAUGAACAAUGCUGAUUUUAUCAUCACAAGUACGUAUCAAGAGAUUGCAGGAACGUAAGUGUUACCCUUUAAUCCACUAACUUAUAAUUGCUUAUGCAAUCAGAUAUGAUGAUUAUGGAUUUAUUAUCCACUUUUUUACAAGAACUCUUUGGGGAUUGGGUUUUUUAGUGUUCAAAUUCUUGCUUUCAAAACUUAAAACGUGAAGGAUCUUGCAGUGCUCCUGUUAACUGUUGUACAAAACUGGCAGAAAAAAAUGGUAGAUUAAGUUUAUUUCAGGAAAGUUUUCAGAGGUGUUGUAUUUUGUAGAUAACAUCCAUGAGAUUGUCCUCAUGUAGAUAUGAAUUUUGUGUUUUACUCUGUUUCUUUGUGCUUGAUGUUCAGCUGGGUCUUCAAUUGUCCAAAUUUAACAUGAUAUUACAUUAGAAUAUAUGCUGUCACUUGAAUUAGUUUAUUUUGGAAAUUACACUUGCUGAAAUUGAUCUUACAACUUUGUCAUUUCGCGUAGAUGUUUAAGUGAUUCUUGUCAAACAAUCGCUUCACUUGUUGUAUGCUUGUUUGUUCAUUCAGGAAGACUACUGUUGGUCAGUAUGAGAGCCACACUGCUUUCACUCUUCCAGGGCUAUAUCGGGUUGUUCAUGGCAUUAAUGUAUUUGAUACAAAGUUCAAUAUCGUCUCGCCUGGGGCCGAUAUGGACAUUUACUUCCCAUACUCUGACAAGCAGAAAAGACUUACAACCCUACAUGGUUCAAUAGAAAAGAUGUUAUAUGAUUCUGAGCAGACUGACGACUGGAUGUGAGUAUAUUCCUGUGUUACUCUUCAAGAACAAUAUUCAAUUAUAUAAUUGGAAAUUUAGAAUAUGAAGAUCAGGCUUAGGCUUGUUUAUGAAAUCUGAUUGUUCAUUUAUAUUGAUGCAGUGGUACACUGACCGAUAAGUCAAAGCCCAUAAUUUUUUCCAUGGCAAGGCUGGACCGGGUCAAGAACAUAUCAGGAUUGGUAGAGUGCUAUGGUAAGAAUGCCAGACUGAGGGAGCUGGUGAACCUUGUCGUGGUGGCUGGUUACAUUGAUGUUAAGAAGUCCAAUGACAGGGAAGAAAUUCUGGAGAUAGAGAAGAUGCAUGAACUUAUGAAGAAAUACAAGUUGGAUGGACAAUUUCGAUGGUUAACAGCCCAAACAAAUCGAGCACGCAAUGGAGAGCUUUAUCGCUACAUAGCAGACACCAAAGGAGCCUUCGUGCAGGUAUAAAGUGCUACUACUGUGGUCUCUCAUCGUGUUAAAGAUUUUCUCAGGAAUCAUAAUUGACUUCCCAACCCUCUCCUCCUUCUGUGUCUAUUGCAGCCUGCUUUUUACGAAGCCUUUGGACUCACUGUUGUGGAGGCCAUGACUUGCGGCCUUCCAACAUUUGCCACUUGCCAUGGUGGUCCGGCAGAGAUUAUUGAGCAUGGUGUAUCAGGAUUCCAUAUGGAUCCGUAUUAUCCUGAUCAGGCUGCUGAAUUUAUGGCAGAUUUCUUUGAAAAAUGUAAGGACGACCCCAGCUACUGGAAAAAAAUAUCUGAUGCUGGGCUUCAACGGAUUUAUGAAAGGUUGGUAUCUCAAUCUGUAUUUGGCACCAUUAGAUUAUGCUUUCUGAGGCUCAUUUAGAUCUUCUGAUACUGUAGAUAUACAUGGAAGAUUUACUCUGAAAGGCUGAUGACAUUGGCUGGGGUAUAUGGUUUUUGGAAGUAUGUUUCCAAACUUGAGAGGCGUGAGACCCGAAGAUAUCUCGAGAUGUUCUACAUUCUCAAGUUCCGUGAUUUGGUGAGUGCUUGACCCUUUUCUAAAUAAUUAUUAAGAUAGCGUAAUUGGCAAUCUAGCUAGUUUUACCCUGACCAUUUCAGAAGAAACAUGGUCUCAUAACUGUGCUCUUGGCUCUUCAAAUGCAAUCUUGGAUAGUUUCUCGGAAUUCAUUUUAAUUCCACAUUAAUGUCUAUUCGUUUCCACAGUUCUAACCAGAUGUUCUGUUGUAAGUUCUGUUAUUUCUGAUUGCUAAAUGUAGAAUUCUGGAAUUGUUAGUUCUAUGUUCUGUCCAAGUGCAACCUCAAACAUUUGGAAUAUCAUGUUCAUGCUCCUUUUAUCUCCAGGUGAAAACUGUACCUUUGUCAAUCGAGGACUGGCAUUAGCUAUUGCUUCCCAAGGAACCGAGACGCCCCCAUGAAUCAGACACAGCACUAUCACACGGUUAUAAUGAUUUUACAUAAAUAAAUUCAUGCGGGUGGCAUGUAGAAAGUUCUGUUGCGUACAAUGAUCUUUGCAGCUAUCUUAUGCUGGUUAAUGUUUCAAGGAAGGCUGUGUAUCCAAGCUGUUGUGAAUAAAUAAAUUGACUCCCCGAGAGUUACACUUUGGCCAGCGCUAGUAGGUAUGCUUUCCAGCACGAACUUCCUCCAAGUAGGCACUGCUAGAUCACCUGGUUCGCUCAAAAAUAAAACGUAAUAAAGAGAGAAUGGCACACGAUGGCUCCUCUACCGCGUGCCACCAAUUGGUCGGUAUAAAGGCCCAAUAUUUGUACUUUUUAUCUGUUGUUACUCGUUAAGUGGACAACGAACAGGAUUGACAUGUUAAUCAAUCUUUGAGCAAGUCAGUUAAUCUCCUUGGAGGGUAUGUGUUCUGUCUUCUCUGAACCAACUGAAAUAUUGAUUUUUCUUUUAUUUUAUUUGCGCUACACAAGCAAGAAGAAAUUCUCUUGUUCCGUAAUUAGUGGUGUCAUAUUUGUUGAUGGAUUCAUGUUUCCAGUAGCUUUCACUUUUGGAUGUAAAGGCAGCCAAGCCUUGUGCAUGCAAAGCCAUUAGGUUCUUCAAGGUCUUGGCCUUUCCUAGUUGUAGGCCUCGAUGAUAAUUCAGCUGGAAUGAGUCUAUGAGAGGGAUCAGGUGAGCAGUUUGCUGUAUGGUUGGUUGUUCUUCCUAUGUAGCAUAUUCUAUGCUUUUGUUGCCAUUAUACAAGAAUCAUUGAGAAUUCACGGUUCAGUGUCUGUUUGUUUGUGUGGCCAUCCUUGCAAGUCUCAAAUAAGUAAAACAUCUAUUAUUUUGAACGUCCUUGGAGAGUGGAAAAAUGGGUUUUGGCUUCUUUAAUUCGGAUAUUUUUUAAAACUAGCAUUGUAUUUUUUAAAAUUUUAGCUAAAAUAUCUUAGAUAAAGAUAUGGUAAAAUAAUAUCGGGCUCAGGUGGUCAACCAAAUCAUUUGGUUGAAUUGAUUUAUUGAUUUAUAUAUCACAAUAAUAAUUGUUAUUUAAAAAAGUCACAAGUUAUUAGAGAGGUUAUUUUUUUUUAAAUUAGUAGUAAUUAAAUCGUUAAUCAAACCAUGAAGUCUUUAGAAUUUCUUGCUUUUCGGAGCUCUGAUUUUGAUAAUUUUAUGAUAUUUUUUAAUGAGUAAAAUUAAUUAUGAAUUUAAAUAAAUAUCCCAGAAGCCGUGAUAAACAACAUCUAUUAAACAUCACAAUUCACAGCCACGACAUCCAAAAUUACGUUAUUUAACUCAAGCUUUUUGUUUAUGUAUGAUUUCAUCUUUUAUUUAGAUUUUACAUGCAUUGUCUGCAACCGAUUUAUCCAUUUAAUUCCCUUCUCCCGCACAGACGGUGAUAUUCUGUCCUGCAUUGUAACCAGAUGAAGCACUGCCCCCAAGGCCAUGGGUCUAUCAUUGCAUAGGAAAAAAAUAGCAUGGGUUCUCCUGAUACCAUCUGACAAGUCUGCAACUCGAACAGAUCUUUUUGACCGCAAGAACCACUACCCCCAAACAGUAUCACGUGUUCCUGCGAAAUUUCUCUCUUUAUCUCCUUUCCUUCCCUCGUUUCCUUUCAACGGUCAAUUACUCGUUAACUCCCUCGACGGAAAAGAUAUUCGUAUGGUACAUUAUCCACUGAUCUGAUACUGUUAAUUUCUUUUGUUUUCAUCCCCUACUUUUUUGCUUGGUAGUUUUGGUUUCAAGGACAAGACAUCCCAUCUCCUAACAUUUUUAAUUCUGUCUAUUAGUGGCCCACCUCUAAUGAAAUUCAGACCGACAUAACAGAUUGACCUGAAAUCUAGUGACUAGACUGGUUUAGAUAAGGUAAAAAAUUAGAUUAAAUAAAAAUUUGGCAAAUCAUGAUAAAAAUUUGUUUUUUUAAUGUAUUUUUUUUAGUUGAAGAUUUUUUUUUAAUUGUUUAUCAACUUUUUUUUUUUUAAUGCACUAAAAUAUUUUAUUUCUUUAAUGUGUUUUGAAAUCUAGUAAUAUAUAUACUUUAUGUUUACAAGAAAAAAAAUAUUUUUUCAAUAUUAAAUAAAAAUUAUUUUUGGUUUAAAUACUUCAACUUCAAAAAAAAAAAAUAAUAUCUUUUCAUAAAAUAAUAUUUUGAAAUAAUCUUUUAAACUUCGUUAGUUAUAUAUAUAGCAUAUAUUUACAUAGAUAUUUCUUAAUUUUUUUAUAUAAAAUAUUAAAAAUUUAAUUUUUUUUAAUUUUUUCAAGUUAAUUCAAAUCAAUUUAUAUAAUCUAAACCCCAACUCCUUUAGCAGCUAGUUUGAUAAUUAUUCCUCACUUUAGUCCCACUUUAGUUUCGCUCAACUCUCGACAAAAAAGUCCAGGAGUGGGAGAUUAUAGAAGCAAAGUUCUUGCAAGUUAAACCCUAGUGGACAUAACACAAGUUCCAAAACGGACUACCAUACUAAAAAACAAGCCCAACAGCUAUCCUAUUAGGGCCAUGUAUGCUUGAUGACCAAUGUGCUUGAAGAUUUGGGGCUCGAGCCUUAGGUCUCUUGACCCCUUUAACCACGUUGACAUCCAGAUAAGUAUUUUAGGACACAUAAAAACAAAGCCACUAAAAAACGAGAGACACAGACACCUAAAUCUAAAUCUAACAAAUUGGAGAUGCUGCUAGGACUUCGAGCUGGCCGGAAGAGUGCGCGAGAUAAGCCAAUGCUCCUACCAGGGGUGCGUUAAUGUAAGUAGCUGGUUCAGAUUGCUCAUAGUCUGAUCUUUCAUCUGGGAACCUGUCAUGUUCGUCUGGCCCUCCAACUAUCGCACCCACAAGAACGUUGGGGUUUGGGGAUUGAGAAUUCAUCACACUAAAGCCUGAGGUGCAUUGGAUCUUUCCUGGGUGUGUAGCGAUUGACGGUAGAGAUGAGCCCCUGUGGUGAAUCCUUUGUGGAUACCUUGGACCAUACCCCACCAUGUAGGACAUUUUCAAUGGGUUGUCUCCAAGUAGAUAGUCCACCUGAUGACAAAAUUUGUUGAGUUACAAAAAAUCCCAUAUAGCAGAAUAAAUAAGUGCCUUAAUAUAAGAGAUCAAUAUGGCCUCGAGGAUGCUUUUAUGGUGCCUGUGACCCAUUUGAUGUACCUGUUUCUUGGCAAUGGUUCGUAGCCUCUUUGGAGUGACAACGGUUCCACCACAGUUUACAACCGUGCGAGCAGAGGUCAAGUACUUGGCAUAGGUUAAGAGCAAGAAUGAAGUUGAGGUGACGUAUUGCAUGUUGCUAUCACUCAUUUUGAACAGCAGCCCGCCUGGUGAUCAAGAAAAAAAAGUAAUACUAGCGGUUUAGGAAGAAGGCGGCACCACAUUUGGGGAAUUGGAAAUCAGAGACAGCACUGUGGGGACCUGACCUGGUGUAUAUUGGGCUGAAGAGAAAGGGGCCCCUGGUAUGAGAGAACAGAUGAAAUUAUCUGCAUGUCCUUUGUAGUCAUGGAGGGAUUGCAGUUUUUGAACAAGAAAUGCCUGAGACUCAAGGACAAUAUUAAUGAUUUCAAUUGAUAAAUCACCAUAAAGAUUUGACAAACAAAUUAAGAACUACAAGUGAGAAUGGGAACCUUGGAAAGAAGAAUCCUUGCACCAACAUGCUUGUUAUCCCAACCAAAGGUAUUGUCAAACUGUGCAGCUCCAAGAUUCUGUCCGUUAACUUGAAUGUAAUUGAGAUAAGUUGGAUUCUUGGUCGCCUUAUGCAGCCAAGCAGCACCCCACAGCAGCUCAUCCUGCCAUUUUUUAGACACCCAGGAGGAGAUUAAGUAUUAAGAACAGCUCUUUAAAAAAAUCAAAACUUGUAAUGCAGGACUCAAAGGCACAAGCUUCACCUCAUAUCCAGAAUAGGAGCAAUAGAAAGGGCAAACAAAUCUCUUCAGUCCAUUGCUGUAGGCUCCUCUGUACUUAUCAGCAAAUUGGAACACCUAGACAAGGAACAAAUUGUACUCGCAUUUUGUGAACAUCAAAUUUUUUGACUGAAAUUUUUACUGAUGAGCACUAAGUAGACAUAUUUACCCUGAUAGCUCUCCUGACCAAAAGCUUGGCAUAAGUGGGGUCACAUCUUCUAAACACCAAAGACGCAGCUGCAAGAGCAGCAGCAGUUUCAGCAGCAACAUCAGAACCAGGGGAAUGCUUGUCAACCUUGAAAACACUCCUUGGAGUAUCCAUAUCUUCUGGUCUCUCCCAACAAGCAUGGUCCUUAUUAGCGUUACCUACCUGAAAAUAAAACCCCAAACGUCAUCAUUUUGAUUCCUUCAGCCAUAUUUCCCAAAUCAAGUGCGCACAUGCCUAUUUAUGGUGUCUCCAAACAAUGUGUAUAAAACUGAAGAAUGCAGAGAGAUUCAAGACUGCAAACCUGAACAUAGAUGGUGUCUGUAUGGGCUGUAGCUUUGAGGAGGUAAUCAGUUGCCCAACGAAUGGCUUCUCUAGCGUUCUGCAGCUCACCUUUCAUCAACCCCCCGAACUCUAAAACACUCCAUGAAAGCAUGGUUGUAGUGAAAGCCAUAGGGAAUCCAAACUUCACAUUGUCUCCUGCAUCAUAAUAACCUCCCACCAAAUCCACCUGCAUUGUCAUUUCAACACCAAAGAUGAGUGAGCCUCAAAGAAAUGUGAACAAGAAAAAAGAAAGCUGAAGAGAAAAGGAGUCAUCUGUGUACACAUACAUGCAUGGUUGAGCCAUCUGUUAGACCCGAGUCUCUCCUCCAUGUCAUCCUCUGGCUAGAAGGGAGCUUACCAGACCUUUGGCCUUCGAAAAAGAGGAUUGAUUUGGUCAGGGCAUCUCUGUAGUUAUGACUGGCAAAGCGAGGGUGGCGGCGGUGGUGGAAUGGGUUGUUGUGAUGGACGGGAAAGCCAUGGCAUGCAAUAAAAGAAGUAGCAAAACAAGAGCAGAGGACUAGAAAUGUGAAAGAGAAAUUAGCGCAAGCCAUUUUGGUCUGCCCAAAAUAAAACCACCCAGAUCAGCCAACUAACCAACCUACGAGCCGCAGUGAAGAACAGAGGCCUCCCUUGCUCUGUAUUUAUAAAGAAAAAGCUGCCACAUACUAUUACCCUCCUGCUUGGUUACCACAAUAGUUAAGCAACUUCUAGGCCUUUAAUCCUUUAAUCAACUUCUAUGUUAGCGCUUACUGUAUUUUAGUUAGGUAAACCUUUAAUUGAUUUUUUUUCGAACCACAAAAUAAUAUUCCUUAGAAAGAGAGGAAAUUGACUUUUUUAUAAUUCAUACAUACCAGAAAAUUGCCACGUAUACAGCAAACAUGACAAUUCUCAUAUUUUUUAGAAUUUGAGAUUUGAGAAGUAGUGAAGACUUUAGACUGGAUAUGACUUUUCAUGGUUGUGUACACACCCUCUAAUAUUUUUUUUAUUAACGUGGGUGUUCGGGUUAUCUUGUGUAUAUUUCGACUAAUCUCACGGAUCCUGAAAUUAACGAUUAUAUAAACCUUUAGUGACCAUCAUAUUAACAAUCAUAGGGUUAGAACCCAUUCCCUCCAAUACGUAAAUCAUGGAGAAAUAGUAUAUUAAAAGUGAGGGGGAGUGAAGAAUGCAUGGGAAUAGUGUCCGGAGAAAAAGAAAAUUAUGUUAAGAGGGGAGCAGGGGCAAGGGAAAUGUAACGUGGCUUUGUGACCUUGUGUGAUUUACUUUAUUGUUUUUAAUAGAGCUUUAUAAUGUUGAAAUGAAUUUGGUUGAAAUUCUUGAAUGCUUUCAUCUAUUUUUAUUUUGGUCUCAAAAUACUUAUAGACUUUUUAUCAUGUUAGUUUACCUCGUGGAGAGUAAAAUAAUAAUAAAAAAUAAUUGUUUUCUCCGGUAAGUAUCCUGAAAAGUUGAGUUAUUGGUUGUUAUGUCUUGUUUUGUAAUUAGUGAAAAUGUUGAUGCUUGCUAUUGGUUGUGGUGCCUUGUUGUGCUAUUGCUAGAGAGGUUGAUGCUUGGUAGGUACCAUUUGAGAAGACAUGUAGGAGGAAAUUUUCAUUGGCUAGAAAAUAUGGUGUCGUACUAAUAACUCAUGUUUAAGCGUCAGUCAGUAUGACACCAUACCAAAUUUAUUAGAGGUCACAAUUUUGCCUUGAGGUGCAUGCCUUGCUGGGCUUCCCUUGGGUUGAGUGGGUUUCGCCUAAAAAAUGGUUUUUGGAAGGCUUAUGGUGUUGUGGACAAGGUCUCUUUUCCCAUGGCAAGCCCAUUUAGGAGACUAGAGACCAAUCCAAUUGGGAUGCCCUCGCAGACUAUAGGUGACCAACUCGGUAAGAUUGACCCAAUCAAGCUGGUAGUGACUAGCUUGUUUGGUUAGCCCAAAUAAUGGUUUUUAGUUUUUUUUUUAAUUUUAUAUUAUUAUUCACUCCUUUUAUAUUUUAAACAUUCAUGUUUGAAAAAAUUUACUCAUAAAAGUUUGAUGGAAAGAAAAGUUUAUGCAUGUCAUGUUACCUUAUUGUGGAUUUUGUUAACAUGCCAUAAUGAAUAUGCAAAUUUUAUUGGAGACAUGGAGAUUUUGUUUGGAUACAUGGAGAUUCUCAUGCAGACACGGAAAAUUUUAUUAGAGACAUACAAACUUUAGUUCAAGAUAUGGAGAUUAUCAUGGAGAUUUUUGUUGGAGACAUGAGAAAAAACAUAUGGAGACUACUUGGAGAGAUAAUAUUGUUUUAUUUAAAUUUCAAAAUAUUUUCUCAUGCAAAUGGAGAUAAAAUCAUUGGAAUCUAUUUAAUAUUAGGCAAUACAUCGAGGGAUGUAUCAACCUCCUUUUGUUUUGGUUGCAUUUCUUUCCUUAUAAAUUGUUAGAGGUGACCCUUGACGAUUAGUCUUUCUAUCUCUAUUUUAAAGCAUGAGAUUUCUUAGUAUCAUGACCAUUAUUAUGGUGAAAGAAAUAAAAUUUAUUGGGUUCCUUGUGUUCACGCAAUCCACUCUUCAUAAAAGGUGGAUAUCAUUAGAACUUUUUUUUUCUUAAUGGCAAGCAAUACCUAAGGAUGUGUGGUUGUCAGAGGUGUGGUCAAGAGCUUAUAAAAAGUUAGAUGAUUACAAAUGGAUCCUUUGGUGUUCCUAUUGAAUGCCCUAAAGCUACUAGGAGAUCAAUGACGUUUAAAUAUGGUUUUUCAUUUCAUGUUUCACUUUGAGGAGAGUUCAAUCAAGGAAAUUAUAGAGUCAUUCCUAUAAAGAAUAGUUGUAGACCCCAUUGAUUAGGUCUUUAAUGGUAAUGAGUUCUAGUAGAGUCUUGACAUUAAUCAUUUCCUCAUUAAAUCUUUAGAUAUAUGCUCUUUUACUCUUAUUUUCUUGUUAUGUGUUGGUGAAAAGCUUAAUGAUGCUCUUUUUAUCUAGUAUACUUAUGCUGAAGCAGGAGAUGCUUUUGGUGAAGAGAUCAUGAAAGUUAAGGAUAGAGUCAAGCUCCAAGUCAUUGUACCACACUCAAGUAAAUCCGUUAAAAAUGCUUUUAUGAGAAAUUUACACAUAACAUCAUUAUCUUAUGUCACAAGAUCUAGGAUACUUUGCAUGUUUUGUAUAUUUUUCCUAAGGUCUGUAAGUCCAUUAUAAUGUUUAGGUUGGUUUUAAUGGACGCACAAUCUUUGAAGAGAAGAGUGUAUCAAUUAUUGGUAAAGUGAAAAAUCUCUCACCUAGUAAGGGCAAUGUUCAUUCUUAGAAGCUUGUAUAGUUAUUAAUCUCGUCUCGCAUCAGAGCUUUUUUUAUAGUGCAUGAGUGAGAUUCGAAAAAAAUCGAUAACGAUAACCACUUAUGUGGCUAUGACUCGCUAAUGAGUGUUUUUCUUAAUGAGAGAGACUCAUUCAAAAAGUUAGAGUACGAGUAUUCUCACAACUAUUAGCUUGCACAUCAUUCUACCCUAUUCAUUUAGGGAACUAGAGUUGCCUUUGUGCAUUCAGUGGUGCAUGCAAUAAAGCUAAGUGUCGUAUUUCUUAUUAAAAAAUGGAAAAGUGUGAAGCUAUUGUUGUUUAGCUAAAACAACAUCAUUCACACCUUCAUUUUAUGGGAGAGUUUAUGGAGAUCUAGAAGAGCUAAAGUAUAUAUGGUUGGGAGGUCAGUUACUCUCCCAUAUCCUGAAAUUUCUAAGUUGUCAGCCUUGGAAAGAAACUAUUGGGUGAUGAAAUGUGAAACAAGAAUGAACUAGCCUUUAUUUAGUUUUUCAUAGAUAACGCUAUUAAUAAAAUUGUGAAACCAUUAAUUGAAUUAGGAUUUUUACAGCUAUUUCUUAGGUCGAUGGUGUGACUUAGCUUGAUAAUUGUUUGGUAGAUUGACAAGAUGACUUCUACACUCACCUGCAAAAACAAGUUUCUUAUUAAAAUCAUUGACCCUCUGAUGUUUAAGUCAACAAAUAUGGGAGGGGAAAUAAUUUAUAGAAAGUGGGGGGCAGGGGGGCGUGAAGAACGUAGGAGAAUGGUGUGUAGAGCAAUAAAGAAACAAAAUAAGUUGAGAGGGGAGUAGGAGUAAAACAAAUAUAACAUGGCUUUGUGGCCUUGUGUGGUUUGCCUUUUUCUAUUCUUAAUGGAGUUUUGUAUUGAUAAAAUGAACUUAUGUGAGGUUUUUAAUUGCUUUAGUCUGUUUUAACCUAGUGACCUGAGGUAUUUAUAGACCUAGGGUCAUGUUAUUAGCUUACCUUAUAAAGAGUGAAAAAUGAUGAAGAAUAAUUGCUUUCUCUUAUAGAUAACCUGAAAAGUUGAGUAAUUAGUUAUUAUGCCUUAUUUUUUCAGUGGUGAAAAGGAUGGUGCUCACCAUUAGUUGUUGUGGCUUGUUGAGCUAUUGGUGAAGAGAUUGGUGCUUGGUAUAUGUCAUUUGAGCUGACAUGUUGGUAGGAAAUAUCCAUUAGCUAGAAAAAGUGGCAUCGUACUAACAAUUUAUGUGUAAAUGUUAAUGAGUACGAUGUGCAUCAAAUUUAUUAAAGGUCACAAUUUAGUCUUGAGGUACGUGUCUCACUAGGCUUUCUUUUAGGUCAAGUGGGUUAAGCUUAAAAAUGUGGUUGUUAUAAGGCUCAUGGUGUUAUGGAUGGAGUCCCUAACCCGUGACAAGUCUGUUUAGAGGACUAGAGAUUAGUCUGGUUGGGAUGCCUAACCAAAACGGUCUGUCAUUUUUUUUUGAAAAAAAAUUGUAUUAUCAAGAUUCUAUAACAAAUAAAAGAUAAUAUUUCUUAAAAUCUUAAAUUCCAUGGCAGUGGGAAUCAUACAAUCUCAAUAUCAAAUUGCUUUUAGGGAGCUACUAGAUCAUUAUCAUUUUUUUAUGCGUGCUAUAGAUAAAAUCAUUUUUUUUAACGUAAAAAAAAUAUGUCUAAGCAUUGUUAACAUUUUUUUAUAGCAAAAAAUAAAAAUAAAACAAAACCAUGUAGGGGUUGAUCCUUAAUGACUUGGUCAAUUUGGUAGGUACAAAGAUAACCACUAAAAAUAUAGUUUGACAAAAAUAAAUUUAAGAUGACAUAUUUGUUUUAUAAAUAUUAAUAUGAAAACAUAUUGGAUCAACUCAGGUUAAUCUGUCAAAUUUACAAUCAUGGUCAUAAGACCAUUAUAAUCCCGUAGAAAAUAAAUUAAAACAAAUUAUGAAGCUUGAUUCUUAAUUAAUCAAAUGUUGAAGGAUAAAAUUGAAAAAAAAUCAAUUAAAAAAAGAACUAAAAAACAACUCGAGUCAACCAAGAUUAUUUGCAAAACUGCGACUCCAGUCAUGAGACCGAUAUAACCCUAUAAAAAGUAAAUCAAAACAAAUUAUGAUAUUCAAUUUUCAAUAAUCCCAAUAUUGAAGAAUAAAAUUAAAAAAAAGACACAAAAAAACCCGAUUCAACCUGGGUUAACAUGCAUGCUAAACACAUGAUUUGUGUCAUGAGAACAUGAUAACUUCAUAGAAAGAAAAUAAAAAAUCAAUCUCGAAUCAACCUAGGUUAAUCUACCAAACCCACGACUCGGGUCAUGAGGUUAAGAUAAUCACAUAAAAAGCAAAUCAAAACAAAUUAUUAAGCACAAUUCUCAAUCAAUCCAAUGUCAAAUGAUAAAAUUAAAAAAAUUUAAAAAAAGACUAAAAAUAAUUACCUGAGUCAACUUGGAUUAACCCGUCAAAUCCAUGACUCAUGUCAUGAGAUAGAGAUAACCUCAUAAAAAGCAAACGAAAACAAAUCAUGAAGUAUAAUUUCUAAUUAAUAAAAUAUUGAAGUAUAAAAUUUGAAAAAGAAGUCAAUCAAAAAAGGAAAAAAAAAGGUUAACUAGGUUAACCCGAGACUCGGAUCAUGAGGUUAAGAUAACCCCAUAGAAAAGAAAUCUAAACAAAUCAUGAAAACCCAAUCCAAAAAAAUUAAAUAUUGAAUGAUAAAAUUGAAAUUGAAAAAUAAAACAUAGGUUUUUUUUUUAAAAAAACACCAUUGAAAUAAAUAAUGCUUUGUGAGGUGAUGCAUAAUAAAAACACCACCACUUUUAGUGUUUUGUUAAUAAAAUAUUAAUUAAAGGCUCCCUUUAUUCUAAAGGUAUGCACAACGAGGGGCAUUAAUGCCAAAUCAAUGGCUGUCACAUGAAAAUAUUAAUUACAUCAUGACUUAAAAAUAUUUGAUAUCGUGAUAGCUUUUAUUUUUUGCUCAACUAUAAAAAAAAACUUUUUGAUUAACCAAAUAACUUUUGUAUUUUGCAUUGGGUAUCAUGCAUAAUUGCGUUUAAAACCUUAAUUUUAUAGAAAUUAAAAUAUUUAACUUUUCAUUCAUGAAAACUUAUUUUUCAUUUAUAUUACAUAAAAAAAUAUAUUUGAUAAUAGUUUUAGUCAGAUGUAUAUUUUUUAAACCGUGACUAAAAAUGCACACUUAGUUUGCGAUUUUCGGAGGAUGUGUCCAUGGCUAUUUGACUGGGAAAUAGUUCAAGUUACUCCUUCAGCUCGGAUGAAAGCGAUGGGACAGGGCAGGGUCACGCAGGAUAUGCCUUCAGCACAAUGCUAUGAGUUUAAUUCGUGAAAUGGACUAACCAAGCAGUCUUACUGUCAACUCGUACUUGGAAAUUUAUUCGAAGUUAGAGGUGAAAAAUAAUUAGUACUCGGUUUCAAUAAUCAGCCAGCAUUGAUUGACAUUAAGAAGAAAAUUGAGAGGCUACAAGCGUUUGUUAAGACGUCGAACUAGUAGAGGCUCGAAUAAUCGGGAAACGGUUUCUUUUAUUGCAGUGGCAGAGAUUCCUCGUGAUGUAUAUGCGUGUUAUAUAUAAAUAUGAGUUAUGAGUAACUUACAAAUUAUAAUACAUAAACUAAUUUUCAAACAAUUAAGUAUUCUAUAUUUACAAAUACACAUACUCGUAGGUGAUGUGAU